RNAcentral lists this long non-coding RNA (57781 nucleotides) under Gossypium barbadense (sea-island cotton). RNAcentral's name for it is "long non-coding RNA (GBAR_LNC007642)". The record is from RNAcentral. Lineage: Eukaryota; Viridiplantae; Streptophyta; Magnoliopsida; Malvales; Malvaceae.
UUAUACAACCCUAACUUCUACAUUAGGCAAGAAGCUCCUAAGGUUUGAGAGAGAUGGCUUCAAAAAGAUCGGCAUCGGUUGCCCUCUUUUUUGCACUCAACAUUCUCUUCUUUUCACUUGUCAGUGCUAAUUGUUCUUGCCCUUCCCCCAAACCCAAACCAAACCCCACUCCCUCCCCAACUCCUGCUGCGGAAGGAAAAUGCCCCAUAAAUACCCUUAAACUAGGUGUAUGUGCUGAGGUGCUUGGUUUAGUCAAUGUAACUGUUGGGUCACCCCCAGUUCAACCUUGCUGCACCCUUAUCAAAGGCCUUGCUGAUCUUGAAGCAGCUGUUUGCCUUUGCACAGCGAUCAAAGGCAACAUUUUGGGUAUCAAUCUUAAUAUUCCAGUUUCCCUCAGCUUGCUUCUAAAUGUCUGCUCAAAAAAAGUUCCAUCCGGCUUCCAAUGUCCCUGAUCACUCUUCCAAAUUCUUUCUUUUCUCAGUAUUUUUCAUGCUUAGUUCGCAACGGUAACUGUCUGUUUCCCUGUUGUAGUGUUUGUUUGGUUGCGAAUUGAUACUAAAUAAGUGUAGUGCUUUUAUUUAUUCAAGUGUUUAUUUUUGGGUUUAUGUAUUUUAUGGAAAAGUGAAAGUGUAGUAUUAUUGGUAUGUUGAUUUGAAUAAACCAUCCAUUGUUAUAAGUUUGUCUAAAUUAAUUUCUCAAUGUUGUCACGCUAUAUAUAUUAAACAUGUGUCCUUACUCCUACCUUCAUGUAUUUUGAUUAUAAGCAUUGGAUUUGAUUUCUAAACAUUUAUUAAGAAUAAUAAGUAAACUUUAAUAAGUUUUUUCUUUGACGCAUAAUAUUUUCAAGUUAACAAUAUAUCAAAAGAGUAUAAUAAUUAAUGAGUAAUCAAAAUACACUUGGAUGUAAGUUAUGGCAAACUUAUUGGGGCGUAUGAGGUAAUUAUAAGUUAUGGCAUAAAUACUGUCGAAACAAGAGAAUAAACACAAAAAAUUUGGUCUACCUUAAUUUGUGUGUCUUGUUCAAACAAAAUUUUACUCUUACAUUAUCGUAACCCAAUUUAUUUUAACUUCUGGUUAACUAUAACCUCAUCCUAGUAUAUUUAGUGUGAACUCUGCCAAACAACCUCUCCUAAUAUGAAUAAACAAUAAAUGCACUUAAUAAAAUUCCUUCAACUUUGAAGUAUGUUACCUUUAAUCUCAAAUUUGUAUUCAUAUAAUGUGAAUAAAAUCCAUUAAGCUUUUAAAGUUUUACCUUAAUGUUUAUCUCUAAGCUUCUUUGAAUACGUUAUCUUCAUGUCUUUAUAUUAUCUUCCAACUCUAUCUCUCACGCUUGGAUUAGAAUGUUUUGAAAGUUUGUUGUUAAAGAUUGGGAUAACAACUUUUCGAGACUCAUACUUCAAAUAAAACUCUUCCAUCUUAAAAUCUUUUUAAGGGUGAGUUUGAUAAAUUAUAGAAAUUUUUCAUUUCAGUGAAAAUAAAAAAUUUAACAUUUAAUAUUUUAAAUAUAUUUAAUAGUUAUUUUAAUUUUUUAUUUAAUAUAAAAUAUUGAAUAACAUAAGUAGAUAAGUAGCUACUUAUCACUUAAUGUAAAAAAUAUUAAGUUGAUUUUAUUUUAUUAAAUUUGAAUUGAAUGAUUUGAAAACAAAAGAUAAUCAAAUUGUCAUAUUUAUCUUCUAUCCAAAAUAAUAUAAAAUAUUAUAUUAAUAAAAUUAAAAAUAAAAAUAAAUAAUCUUUUAAAAAUUAAUAUUUAUUUUUAUCAAAUAACAUAAUUUAUAUUUACUAAUUUAUCAAAUAUUUUUCUAAUAUAAAUUCAAUACUUGUAAAAUUUAGCAAAAAAAAAAAUUAAUACUUAAUUUUUUAGAAUUUAAAAUUUUAAUUUAUCAAAUACAUUAAAUAGAUAGAUGCGGCCAUGAAUAUCCCACAUUUUUAACCAUUAUAAGAUAAUUAUGAACAUAAAAAUAAAUGCAAAGUAAAAACAAAAUUGCUGACAAAUAAAAAUUGAUGCAUAAACAACUUUUAGUUUGCCAUGCGGGAACAGUUUGUACGUAUCACAAAUUAUUGUGUACUAACAAGUUAUAUUCUUAUUCUAUAAAAAAUCAUUAAUUAAAAUAAUUUAAAAUAAAUAUUUUUUCCCAGUAACUAAAACAAAUAAAAAUAAAAGUAUUUUAUUUUAAUAAACAUAUAUUUAUAUAUAAAAAAACAUGAGUUAAAUUCAUUACAUUAUUAAAUUCACAUUAAUUAAUACCUUAUUUAUAUAUUACUAAUUAUUAUGAGAUAAUAAUAAAAGUAACAUUAAUUAACUAUUAAUUCAUUAAAGGUAAUUGAAUAACUUAAAAAUAAUAAAAUCCCUUAAAUAAAUUAUAGAUAUUACAUAUAUUAUUAACUAUUAUGUGAUCAUAAAAAAAAUUAUUUAAUUGUGCAUGUAGUUUUUUAGUUUCACAUUUCUUUUUAAAUAAAUAUUAGAAAUCUUAACACACGUGUAUACGUGUGAAAACUAUAUAUUUCAAAUACAGAUGCUUGUUUAAAAGUAACAUAUAAUAAACAUUGAUAUGUAUAGUUUGAAACUAAUUAAUCAUAAUAACAUAUGAAAUAUGUACAAUAUUAAAAUAAAAAAAUAGAUUAAAUUAGGACUAAAAUGAAACCUAAACACAUAAAUAUAUCAGAUAAAUAAUACGAAAUGCACUACAGUUAUUUAUUAUGGUUUUGUCAUUAAUUAUGAGUUGGUGUCAAGUUGACUUGUGACACCAACUCAAUGAACAACAUUAUUAAGAUAUACAACUUAUAGAGAUAAUAAAUUGUGUAUAUUAAAGUUAAAAUGUAUAAAAAUAUAUUAAAAUUGUUAUAGAAAAAUUAAUAAAACAAUAAUAAUAAGUAAAAGGUGGAUGAAAAAUACGGGAGAAUUUUUUCAUAUCUUCAUUUCACUCACGUAAGGAUUCUAUUUAUAAGUAAUUAACAUUCAAUGCAAUAUACUAAAUGAAGCUUAUUUAAGUAUUUCAUUGACACAUACAUUAAACAACUUGCAUAAUGAAUGAGAGGUUUUAUAUUAUAAAUGAAGGGGGUUAGAAUAUGAAUAUCCACAUUUAUUUGUAACACUUCCCCUUAGAUAUCCACUAGAGAAAACUGUGUAUCAUUAAAACCUUUAUGAGGAAAAAUCCUGUGGGAUAAAAUCCUAAUAAAGGAAAAAGAGUACAUAAUCUCUUAUUGAUAAGCUAUACAAGUAACAUAUUUUCAUCUCAUUCUUAAUGCGUUUUUGAAUGAUUAAUUAUGCAAAUUAGUAAAUUUUAUGCUCCUAAUCCUUUAAAUUCAUAUUUCUAUACUUAGGAGAGCAUUUAAGAGUGAAAGGAGCGAAAAACGAGCCAAAAUUGGAUAAAUAGAACUGUUUUCAGGAGCCAUAUGGCUGGGGCAUUUCUAAGUGGGUUGGGCACACGCCUAUAUAAGUCACACGGGCUAGCCACAUGCCCAUGAGCUAGCCCAUGUCAAUUUCACACCCUACUUCCCUAAUACGCAGAAAAACCCAAUUUUUAAGCUUUCUGAGCAUUUUAAAGUCUAUAAAUACCCAUUAGAAGAAGACAUAAGGGGGCAAUCAGAAAAGAUCGAAGAAAACACUCGAAGAACACCAUCGGAAUCAACUCGAAAGCGGAUCUCCAUCAAUAUCGAAGAUCUCCUUUUAAUUUCUUUCGAAGUUUUAUUAAGUUUCUUAUGUCUUGUAGUUAUUCUGACUUUGAGAUGUUUUCAUUCAGGAUUAUAAACUAACUCCCUAGAUACUUAGGGAGGAUGAAACCUAUGAUGAAUCUUUUUAUUUAAUAUCUGCUUUUACACGAUAAAUAUUUGAUUCUUGUUCUCAAUUAUGUAAGCUUAUUUCUUAUUUUAGUAUUUUCGAAAUAUUAAUUCAUAUUUAAUGUGCUUAAUUCAAUGGAGCAAAAGUUUCUGUUUAAGAGUAGAUCUAGCAUAAUAGAGUAGAGUUGCCACUAUAGGAAAAUAGACUUUUAGCGGCUUUUUUUAGCCUUUAGUAGCGUUUUCACAAGCGCCGCAAAAAACGCCGCUAUAGAAAACGUCGUAAAAACUUGCGGCGUUUAUUUGAAAAAAAUGCCACAAAAGAUCAUGACUUUUAGUGGCGUUUGUGGGAAAGGCGCCGCUAAAAUUUAUGGCUUUUAGCGGCAUUUGAGGGAAAAGUGUUGCUAAAAGUCAUGGCUUUUAAUGACGUUUUUGGGAAAAGCGCCGCUAAAAGUCACGGCUUUUAGCAGCAUUUGUGGGAAAAGAUAAAUCUAAAUGAUACUUCAAAUUCAAUGAAAGAUAUAUGAUGUAAAUUAAUAAAUGAAGUAUAACUCAAAAUAUUCUUACAAUAAUGUUAAAUGUGACAAUGUUAAAAUAUUCUUCCAACGAGAAAACAAAUGUCUAAGAUAGCGGCUUUUGCGACUGCUGAAACAUCUGCAUCAUAUGCUGAAGCUGUAGCUAGAGCUCAUCGUACUUUUUGCUCUGCUCUGCUACCAUCGCUACUGCCUCUGCCUCCCUCACUGCUGCCACUGCCUCUCUCGCUGCUGCAUCCGCUCUAAGUUGUUGUUGGAGUUCUUCAUAUGUUCUUUCAACCUCGGCAAUUUGCUCAACUGUGUUCGCUUGCAUCUGAGCUAUCUGGUCUCUUAACCUCUGAACUUCAGCUUGAGCUUGACUCCCGGAAGGCAUGUAUUGCUAGGAGCCGGAUCCAAAAUAUUGGGUCGGGGUAACACCAUAUCCUUGAAAUCGAACCCGACCAUACCUUUCAGGACCAAAAACUUCAGUAAUAAUUAUGUUAUCAAUGUUCUCAAGAUUAACAGAACUAUCAGUCGAAGCAACCGCUUCAUACUCCGCCUUCUUCUCCUUUAGUUUCUCCUAAUAAAUCAAUCAAAGAGUUAGAAACAAAAUAUAUAAUAAAAAGGAAUGCAACAUAACUUAACAUUAUUUAAAACUACUACCGACGAAUUAAACCAUUAUAAUUAAACAUUAUAAAUAUUUAUAAUAAAUCAAAUUUUAUUAAGUAAAUAUACCAUAAUUUCUCCAGCUUCGGAUGUCAUAGGAGAUCCAUCUUUCUUCCUAUGCGUAAUCUCAAAAAGCUGAAGGCGUCCAACUUUUUGACCAGACGAGACUUCCUAUAAUAUAGUAGUAAAAAUAUUAUUUAAUAGUAGAAAGUCAUUAAUAUUUGAUAGAAUUAAUAAAUACAUAAUACCUCGGCCUCAGCUACAGAAAAAAACUUCUCGACCCUGCCAUGUGCGUGAAUUUUUGUUUUUGCCUGCUGCUUGUUCCAACUUGUUCACGGUCCUACAUAAUGUAACUAUUAUUACAUAUAUAGUAAACACUAUAUACCAAAAAAUUUAUAAGAAUUUGGAAGUACGUAAUACCUCUCCUUUCUUUGAAUUCCAGAAUCUAACCGCAUCUUCCCAUUGGUACCUCAGCAUUCUUGGCGGGACAUUUCGCUAUUUUUCUUCGAGGCUUAUGUCUUUCUUAAAAUAUUGUUUUUUUCAAAGUGCUUUUAUGGUCUCUCCAUUUUUUACCCAAUGCCUUCUUGAUAUAGUCAUCCAAGACCUUUAAAACAAAUUUCUCCUAAAAAAAUACAAGUUUAGAAUGUAAAUAUAAAUGAAACUUAAACCAAAGUAUUAUAAAUUACAUCCACGUUUUGUUACCUUAAUAGUAUCGAGAGUUUGAUUUUUGUUGUUAUUAGGCAUGUGAUGCCAUGAUUCGUAGUUGAUAGGCAACAUAUUGGCAUUUCGUGCUAUAAUGCCCAAAUAGCCUGCUAAAAAUCGAGCUUUAGAUCCAACAGGCUGACCAUGACUAUUUCUACUUACUUUGACACGCUCGACAGGAUUUAAGUUGUAUAAAUCUUUAAGUAGCGUACGUCCUCGACCUCUACGCGUCUCACCACUUUCAGCUGAAAAACGAUAUGUUAUUAUUUAUAUUAAAAUUGAAAAAUAAAUCAAUAAUACAAGUCAACACACAUGUAAAAUAAACUUAACAUUACUUUGAAAUUCUGCAGACUCGUCAAGUGUCUCCGGCACAUUCGAAGAUCCAAUAACUGUCUGUUGUUCACUAUUUGCUUCUUCCGAAUUUGGAGUAUUCUGGAUCAUAUUUAAAUCUCGUAAUCUUCUUCUACACAUUUUUCUUGCAAUACACAUAAAAUAGUUGAAAUUUUAGUAACAAAUUACAACAAUAAUAGUUUUGUUACAACAAUAAUAGUACAUAUAAAAUAGUUAAAUUAUAUAACAUGAGCAAGAUUAAAAUUAUAAUAUUACAUAUAAUUAAAAAAUCGUAAAAUCUUACUACAUCAUAAUUCGUAAAUAUCUUCAUCCACAUCCUAACGAAACCAUUGAAAUUGUGUACUAGUACUAGGGAUAUUUUCAUUUAAGUUUUGUUCUGGAAAACAUAAAGUUUUUGAUCUUUUGACGAUUUCAUCUCUACUUCCAUUGCCCAUGUCAAACAAGUCAUUAGGGGUGUUUCAGAGUACAAUGUACCAACCCUCAUCAGUUGGAUCUUUCGAGUAAAAAAACUUGUUUCACUUAAGAAGAAAAUACAUACUGCUCGUCUAUCAAUUGUUCUUCAGUGUGAAUCAAUCGAGAGAAAUUCUCCAUUGUAAAACCAAAUUGAUCGUUUUUAAUUCCGCGAGCAGUAUUAACAUCAGCCCAAUCACAUCGAAAUAAGACAACUUUCCAUUUUCCAUAGUAAUCUAACUCAAUAAUAUCAGUAAGAAGUCCAUAAUACUCCACAUUUCCCUCAACGGGAUUACUGUCCCUAGCACUAACCUCAAUCUCUCGCGAUAUUUUGUAUGAAAUCUAAAUCCAUUGAUGAUGAAGGCACUAUAUCAUUUUACUACUCUAUUCGGGUCUUGGGAAAGCCAUUUAACUUCUUCAUUAACUUCAUUACCACUCCAAACCUAUUGAAUCGAAAGUAAAUUGAGUAAUUAUAAAUGUUAUGAGAAAACAUUAUUAUUUGUCAAUAAAAGGUUGCGUUGUAUACCAUUUGGCUUAACCAUUCAUGGAAAGAUUCUGUGAAUAACUUAUUAAUCUCUCGUUGUUGUAAUCUUCGAGAGCGUGAACGAGAUCUCAAGAUUUGUUUGUACUCAUUAUGUUAAAAAGAGGUUUAAUUGGUUAGAAAAUAAACAAAUAAAAAAGAUGAAUAUUUAUCAUAUUCUAGAACUUACUUGCGUAAUGGUUCAAUUGAAUUGUGGUGAAAUAGAACAUAUCUAUGUGCUUGUACCCAAGAUCUUUCAUCUAAUUCUGCAAUUUCAACUUUACUGAUUGGUUCUCUAUAACUUUGAAAUAAAUAAGUUUCGGCGAAGUUGGGAUCAUUGAGCCCAACAUUUCUACUUGGUUUAUUCAAUCGUGUUUCAACAUCUUCUAAAUAUCUAGAACAGAAGAUCAUACACUCCUCUUCCAAGUAGCCUUCAGCAAUUGAUCCUUCUGGAUAACGCUUAUUUUGAUAAUAAGACUUCAAUUUGCUUAGGAACCUAAAUACGAUAUACAACAUUAUCAAAAGUUGUAACUAAAUGUAUAGAGGUGAAUGAAUGAAUACUCUACAAAUAAAUUAGCACAUUUCUAUAGGAUACAUCCAUCGAUAGAAAACCAGUCCACUAAUUAUUUCUUUAUAAGAGAGAUGGAUUACCAAGUGCACCAUAAUAGUGAAGAAGGAAGGUGGAAAGAUCUUCUCCAAAUUGCAUAAAUUCAAAACGGCUCGAUCCUGUACUUUCUCAAGUUCUUCAACAUCCAAAACUUUGCCACAAAUAGCAUUCAUUAUACUGGAAAGUUCAAUUAUCCAAGACGUAACCUUUUUUGACAUACAGCACCGUAAAACAAGUAGUAGUAAAUCUUGCAUCAAGAUAUGAUAAUCAUGUGAUUUUAAAGAAUAUAGUCUUCGAUCUUUAAGACUCACACAUCGAGAUAUAUUUGAUGCAUACGCAUCUGGGACCUUUAUAUCCUUCAACACCGUGCAGAACACUUCUUUCUCUUCCUUCGACAUUGCAAAAAUUAGAGGCAGCAACCGAUAUUUCCCAUUCAGAAGUACUUGGGGAUGAAGAUCACGUCGAAUUCCCAUGUCAACUAAAUCAAGUCGACUCUGAAGAUUAUUUUUUGAUUUUCCAUCGACAUUCAAAAUUGCCCCAAUGAUGUUCUUGCAAACAUUAUUCUCAAUAUGCAUGACAUCAAGAUUGUGUCGUAAAAUGUGAUGCUCCCAAUAAGGCAACUAAAAAAAAAACUUCUUUUUUUCCACAAGUCCGCCUCCUUACGAUCAUCCUCUUCAUUAGAUUCAUCAUCAGAUUUGUCCUUUGAUUUUCUCCUUGCUUGUAUGUUGUAUGGUUGAUUCAUCUCCGCAUAACUGAAAUCCAUAUAUUUUAACAUGAAUAAGAUUUCAGAUCCAAUGGUCUACUCAGGAGCUUCUCUAAACUCUUCAGUACUGUCAAAUAAAGUCCUUUGAAAUCUAAAUCUAUGAUUUCCAUCCAACCACCGACAAUGCCCCAUAUAACAGAACUUCUUCUUAUUAUGUAACCAUUUCGAACAUGUUUGCGCAGCACAACAAGGACAAGCAUAACGUCCUUUGGUACUCCAACCAGAUAAAUUGACAUAAGCCGGGAAAUCAUUAAUUGUCCAUAACAAAACUGCAUGAUAAACCGUAAUUUAAACAUAUUUCUAGCCCAUGCUUAGCACAUUUUAUGGAUGAUUUUUCCUUAAAAUUGGUGAAUUCGAUGCUCCUAAUGCCUUAAUUUCAUGUUUUAUACUUAUGUGAGCAUAGGAAAGUGAAAGAAAAGAGAAACGGGUCAAAAAACGGAGAAAAUGGACUAACGUACGAAAUCAACACAGCCUGAACCUCCUCACACGGGCAGACCACACGGCCGUCUCAAUUUGGCAAAAUCGAAGCACGACUUACACAGGUGGACCACACACCCCUACCUAUCUAACAAGUUUAACCACGGGCUAAAUUAAUCGCACACGGGCGUGUCAUACAGGCGUGUCAGACGGGCGUGUCCCUGUCGAGUCCAAAUUGAGUCCAAUUUGGAAAAGGCCAAUUUUGAGGGUUCUUAGGCAUUCUAAAGCUAUAAAAACACCCUAGAGGAGGAAGAAAGGGGCCAAAUAGAGAAGGAAGCAGGGAACUGCUCAAAGAAAGCCGAAUGAUCCAUCUUAGAAGCAGGAUUCAUCAUCAAGACUGAAAAUCUUCCCUCAAUUUCCCUCCAGGAGUUUUGUUUUUUUCUUUAUGUUUUGUAUUCAUUAUUCUUCUGAGAUGUUUACCUUUUUAGUUAUGGACUAAAACCCCUAAAUACCUAAGGGGGAUGAAACCUAAGACAGAUCUUGUUAUUAUUAUCUGAAUUGUAUGAUAAAUAUUUAACUUGUUCUUAAUUAUGUGUUCUUAAUUAUUGUCUUGAUAUUCCAGGAUAUUGAUUCAAGUUAAGCUCUUAUUCAGAUGAGGAAUAGACCCUGUCUAAGAGUACAUUUGUCAUAAUUAAGCGGAGUUGAUUGCGCGCCUAGAGAUAGGGUGACAAGAUUUUUUCGGAUUAGGGUAAAACCUAAUAAGGGGAUCCAUAGAUCGAGUUAAUGCAACCCUAGGGACUUAAUUAGAAAGAGAUUUCAAUUAUUCAACCUAGGGUUAGACGUUGUUAGUCUCGAGAGGGAUAAUAAUAUAACUUAGGGAUUUCUACGGAUCAAGUCAACUGAAUAAAUCGUUCGAUUCAGAGUCAAAUAACAAGUGAAGUCUAGGUGGAUUUGUCCUUAGGUAUUGUCUUAAUUCAAUCAUUUUUCCAAAAGUAAUUCCCCAAUUCUAUUUUUUGUGAUUUCUUAGUUUAGUUAAUUAGUUAGAUAAAAAAAACCCUUUUAUUUUUUAGGCUAGAUAAUAAAAAGAAAAGUUAAUACUAGUAGUUUUAGUUCCUUUGGGUUCAAUAAUCCAGUCUUGCUAAAGCUAUACUACUAUUCUAUAGGUACACUUGCCUUCAUCGUGAUAAUAAUUAGUUUCAAGAAUGAUUCAUUAUAAAUAUUUAAAACCUGUCACGAAUAUCACGUAUCAAGUUUUUGGCGUCGUUGCCGGGGAACUAAGAUAUUAGGAACACUCGAUUUUUAUUACUUUAGCCAUUUACUUUUACUGCAAUCUAAAUUUUAUUCUAAUUUUUAAUAUUAAUUCUUAUUUUUCCCUUUUUCUAGCAGGUCCUUAUAGUUUAUGACUAGAAGAAACCCGUCAGGACCAUUACUUUUUGACAGUGAGAUCGAUCGUACAGUUCGCAGAAACCAAAGAGAAAUAAGGCGAAGCUUAAGAUACAUAGAGAACUAGCAAGAGGACGAUAUUCAAACCAAAACCGAGGAGAUGACUGAGAACCAAGAAAAUUCACUACCUCCUGUAGUUGCUAUUAAUCAAAAUCCUACUCUGCGCACUAUGUAUGAUUAUGCUAAACCUAAUUUAUCAGGAACUUAGUCAAGUAUAGUUAGACCUGUUAUUGCUUCAAAUAAUUUUGAACUAAAACCUAAUACGAUUCAAAUGAUAUAAUAGUUUGUUCAGUUUGAUGGUUUGUAGGACGAGGAUCCCAAUGCUCACUUGGCAAAUUUUCUAGAAUUUUAUGAUACCUUUAAAAUUAAUGGCAUUUUUUAUGAUGCAAUUCACCUUCGAUUGUUUCCCUUUUUUGUUAAGGAAUAAAGCUAAAUAAUGGUUGAACUCGUUACCACAAGGGUCAAUCACUACUUGGGAACAAAUGACCGAAAAUUUUUUAUUAAAAUAUUUUCCACCAGCUAAAACAGCCAAAUUACGUAAUGAUAUCUCUUCUUUUGUGCAGAUAGAUUUAGAAACACUCUACGAUGCAUGAGAGAGAUACAAGGACGUUUUGAGAAGGUGCCCUCACCAUGGGUUACCGCUUUGCCUACAGGUUCAAAUGUUCCAUAAUGGCCUAAAUCCUUCGACUCGGCAGAUUAUUGAUGCAGCCGCUGGAGGAACUAUCAAUAAUAAGACACCUAAGGCGGCUUACGAAUUUAUUGAGCAGAUGUCACUGAAUAACUAUCAGUGGCAAGUUAUGAGAACAAAGUCGACGAAAGCAGCCGGUGUUUUCAACCUCGACGCGGUUACUAUGUUAUCUAACCAAGUAGAACUCUUAAAUAAAAAAGAUUGACGGUUUGUGUGGUUCCACUCAAGUGCAUCCAAUGAUGAGGUGCGAUUCGAAUGGAGGAGGAGCAUGCACAGAAUAUCAACCCUUCAACCUUAGCAUCGAGGAGGAACAAGUCCAAUAUAUGGGUAACAAUAACUCUAGAUCCUAAAAUAACCCAUAUAGCAAUACCUACAAUGUAGGUUGGAGGAACAACCCAAAUUUUUCAUGGGGCGGUCAAGGAAAUCAAAGGCCACAACAUCUUCCGGGCUUUCAACAACCACCUUACCAGCCAGAAAAGAAGCCGAACCUUGAGGAGAUGCUAACCAAAUUCAUCUCGGUGUCAGAAACUCAUUUUCAGAAUACCGAGACAGUACUUAAGAAUCAACAAGCAUCGAUCCAAGGGCUAGAAACUCAAAUUGGACAGCUUGCCAAGUUGAUUUCUGAAUGACCAUAAGGUAGCUUGCCAAGCAACAUAGAAUCUAGCCCAAGGGAGCAACUCAACACGAUUACUAGUCAAGAUGAGGAAGGGUUAGUCAUACCUAAACCAGAACGAAGGCAAGAAACUGAGAUAAGCAAAAGUAAAGGUGAGGUAGACCACCAUGAGCAGAAAUUGGUAAGUACAGAGUAUAAACCUUGUGUGCCAUACCCCAAUGGGACAAGGAAAGACCACUCAGACGAACAAUUUGGUAAAUUCCUUAAACUUUUAAAGAAACUACAUAUUAACCUACCGUUUAUUGAAGUACUUUUGUAGAUGCUAAAUGCAGUCAAAUUUUUAAAGGAGCUUCUAGCAAAUAAACGAAAGUUAGAUGAAAGAUCACAUGUGGAGUUGAAUGUGGUUUGCUCAGCCAUUCUUCAGAAUAAGCUACCCAAAAAACUAAAAGAUCCAGGGAGUUUUACGAUUCCUUGUUUAAUUGGUAGUUUAGAUGUAAAUAAUGCAUUAGCUUAUUUAGGGGCUAGUAUUAACGUCAUGCCUUACAAAAUGUUUAAACAACUAAGUCUUGGGAAACCCAAACAGACUAGGAUGAGCAUCCAAUUAGCAGAUAAAACUAUAAGAUUUCCUAGGGGUAUUAUUGAAGAUGUACUCGUUAAAAUUGACAAAUUUAUGUUUCCCGUUGACUUCGUUGUUUUAGACAUAGAGGAGGAUAGCAACACUCUUUUGAUUUUAGGAAGGCCCUUUUUAGCAACUGCUAGAAUGGUUAUUGAUGUUGGCAUAGGUGAGCUCACACUUCGUGUGGGAGAUGAAACAAUCACCCUUCAAGCUCGCAAUUUCGGCAACACACUGAAAAUUGAAGGUGAUUGUCUAAACCAUUCUACUAAAACUGACAAUAUGGUGCAACCUACUUUGUAGGAAAUGAGUUUGAAGGAAGUACAUGAGCCAUUUUCAAGCAAUAGUAGAGGACCUAUUCAUGAAGAACGAAGGCUACAAAUAGAGGAGCUAGAUGAAUGGUGGACAUAAAAAUCGAGAACACACGAUAAACCAAAACUAUGCCAGAACAAGCUCAAUACCUUUCCAAAUCAACUUAAGGUUAGAGAUAAAGUUUUAUUAGAUGCCGCAGAUUCUCACAUGGUCAUUGCCAAACCGAAUGAAGAAAUUCCUCUUACAGUACUUAGCAUUUUCCUAUUUGGUACAGUCGAGAUAAGUCAUCCCAAGUUUGGCACUUUUAAGGUAAACAAUACCCGCUUAAAACCUUAUUUUGAUGAGAUUCAUAGCAGGAAUGAGGAGUAUAAACUCCUCGAACCACCAUGACCAUUCAAUGGAGAGGUAAGUCGAGCUUAGACUAUAAAUAAGCGCUUCUCGGGAGGUAACCCUAGCACUAACCGUAUUAACUUCUUUAAAUUUAGUGUUUAACACCUAACUUACUAACGGAGCUCUUGAACACAGGAUUACCACACAGACACGGCCAAGCACAUAGGUGUGCUUAGGACCGUGUAGAAACAGGGCAAAGAUUUUCCCCAGCACGGGCUACGAUAAAUCGCCAUAGCUGUGUGGCAUGGCCGUGGGCGAACCUGCCAAAACAACACGGGCGUACGACACGCCCGUGCCUGGAAAUCGUGGUCGAACCUAUCAAAUAAACACAGGCGUGCGACACCCUCGUGCUGAGCAACCGUGGGCGAACCUGUCAGAUUAACAUGGGCAUGGAAGAAGUGAAUGAAGACAUACUCGGCCAUGCAACACCGUCGUUUGCACCCACACGCCCAAAGAACAAGGGCAUGGGCCAAAUGUCAGACGCACCCAAAUUUAAAAUUCGCGAAUCACACAGGCAAAAAUUGGGGAACACGGGCAUGUUCCCUGGCCAUGUGUCCCAAAAUCUAUAAAUACCUUUCACUAUUCAUCAUCUUCUUCACCCAAAAUCCCUAACCCUAGCCGCUGCAAGUUCACACGACCUCCCACCAUGCUAGUGCACCACUUCCAACCCUAUUUUUGAUGCUCAUUCUCCUCUUUCUAGCUUUUGUUUACUUUUUCUUUCUUUUAUUUUACUGAUUUCUAAUGCUAUUUAUCAUAGUAAUCUGUAUUUUUCAUGUUAUUUUCAUCUUUCUAUCACUUCAAUUUCAUAUCUAGACUAGUUAUCAUCUUUUUUCAUGUUGAAGUUCUUACUCACUGCAUGAUCUAUCUGCUCCACUUGACUAGUUUAAAGUGAAUAUUUAUUGUUAGGAUAAUAGAAAUACUCAUAACUUUUGGGUUGACAUUUUCCAUCAAUAAAAUAUGCUACAUAGAACUAUUUGCCAUUUUUAUGAAACUCAUACCAUUAUUAUGCUAAUGAUACACCAUAAAAUUAAUUGUUUUUGAUUAAGUUUACUAGUAGUUGUGAUUGAGAUUAUUAGUUUUAAUUUAUGACUUUUGCAUUUUUAAAUUUGUUUUCGUCUUACCUUGAUCAUUCAUCAUGACGAAAUAAUGGUUUUGCUUGUCGGUAUACCAUGUCAUCUUCAUGAGGAAAGAAAGCCGCCGUCCUUGCUUCGAAGAAAAGGAAGAGAUCGUCAUCUUCCUCGGGUCUUACAGCGAAAAUUUGUCACCCUUUCCUGCAGUUCCCCAUUGGGCCCCAAGAAGAAAUUUUCUAGAUCCUACGGGCCUGACCCUUGGAAGUGGGCUGCUGUAUAGACUGGGCCACGCUAGAACAAGUCCAACUCGCGGAUGCAAUUUGGGACCUUCUCACCACUAAUCCUUGGGGGAUUUUUUUUAGAUUGUCGAGCCCACAUAUCUCGAACUCACUAUGGAACUCUGCUCAACGUUCCAUCUUCAGACCGUGAUGGCCCGCUUUAAUAACCCAGGAAUAAUUCAAUUUCGCCUAGGCGAUCUAGUCUGCCAGUCCCAGAGUUCAGAACUGCACUGGGCCUUUACAUUGAGGAGUUCAUGGAGGAGAAUGAACUCCACGCUCUCAAUCGCCACAUCCAUCACUCUCCUUCACGGUGUUAGAAUGCCCUCACCCUCGGCGCUGCCUCCUACAAUCCUAGCCGCUCCAAGGCAUCGGCUCUCCCUCCAUCUCUGAGGUACUUACACGCCACUUUGGCUCACACGUUAAUAGGAAGGCGAGAGAGCACUAGAGUCAUCAACACUCACGAUGCCUACUUUCUAUGGUGUAUGUGGCACGAGAACGUCAUAGACUUUACUUAUUUCAUUGCCCUCGCCAUUCAACGUCAGAUGGAGCGACAUAGGAAGGGGGUCAUCUCCAUUGGGCCCUAUGUGACGCGGUUGGCUCGGCACUUCGGGCUCCUCAACACGGCAGCCCAAUUAUCCUCCCUCACUCUCAUGGGCCAAAGUAUGAGGAUGAUCGAGAAACGACAUGGCACCUUCCCUCCUUAGUACCGUCUCGCCCAGUCCACCGAGGAAGAGGCCCUCAAGGACAUUAUUAAUGAUGUCCCUUUGCGUCACGAGGACCCACCGUCUCAGCCACCACCUCCUUCUCGUCCAGUUUAUGCGGUGGAUUCAUACGUUGACAUCUCUGAAUGCCUAACUCGAUUCGAGUAGUAGUGUUUUCAGCGCUUCGAUAACAUUGAUGCUACUCUACAACAGAUUCGUCAGCACUUCCACAUCUCAUCACUACCCCCACCUCGCGAACCAUCUAGCGAUGAAGAUGUUUAAAAACUUUUAUUUACUAUUUAUUUUUAUGUUUUAACUUUUAUUUUAAGACUACUUUUUAUUUUUCUUUCACUUUAUUUUUAUUAGGUUUUAUAAUUAUUAUUUUACAAUAUUUAAUUUCGUCUAAGUCAUUAUGAGUACUUAGUCUUCCCGAUAUAUUUCCUAAAAGAGUUUCUGAUUCUAUCACAGUUAUAACGAGCUCCAAAGCUCACUAUUACUCAGGAACUUGAAACUCCACUGGGAAAGGUUCUCCACGACUGCCAUGUCCUGCUCGACCACGACCAUAUCCAACUUGAGCUAUAAUAUUCUUUUGGCGUAGCAUUUGUGGAACCCAACCUCUACCACCACCGGAGUAUCCUCUACUCUCAUGCCGAUUAUUCUCCAAAACUCUAGUUCAAAGGAAUUCAUUCAUCAUUCAAGAAGUUUCACUUCUUUCCCUAUCUUAUGAUUAUAAAUCUAUCUUUUUCAAUAUAUCUACUUUUGUACAUUGAGGGUAAUGUACAUCUUAAGUGUGGGGGUUUUUUAUAUCAGAAAAAUCCCUGAAUUUUGUUUUAUUCUUAUGCGAUCUUCUCAUAUUAUUAUUAGAAUAAAUUCUAAUUAGUCUAUAAUGUUUAUUGAUAUAUCUUAAAUUAAAGCAUAGGCAUUUAUGCAUUGAUUGUUUAAACUUUAAGGCAUUAGGGAAUCAAGCCUGAUAAGUUGAUUUUUGAAGAAUUAAAAACUUUUAGGUUGUUUCCCCAAGUUUAGGUAUUAUUUUGAGUUGGAAUUCACAAGUUUAACAAUAAAAAACUAUAAUUUUUGUGAGAUCUUGAGCCUUUAGAGCAUCUAUUAUUUUUUUCAUGCUCACUUUCAUUAUGAGUGCGUCAGUAUUGAGUUGUUAUUCUGGAACUUUCUUGAUUAUGCAUGUCAAGACCACACCAUUUGAUUUGAUAUGUCAAAAUGAUAAAGGCAGUUAGGUUUAACCCACUCACUCCAUAAAAGCCUACCUUCACAAUUAACCCUUAGUGAACCCCCUUGAGCCUAACAACCCAUUCAUUGAUUUACCUGCAAUAUUAACCCAUAACUCAUUAUUGUUGAAAUCCCCUAAAUUAAUUUUAUCCCUAUUUUUGUCGAGAUUUGAGUUGGAAUAGUUGCUUAGCUAUGUUUUAUUUUAUUUUGUAAUUUGACUUGUUCUUAAAAAUAUAUAUAUACAUGUAUACAUAUUAGUAGUAGUGAUCUUCUGAGCUAAAGAAGUUAAAUUCCAUAUUCUGAGAAAAAGCACUGUUGUACGCAAUUGAUGACUAGUCAUUUUUCUAGUGAGGUAAUUUUUCAAUUCAAUCUCGAUUCUAACCCUUUCUUUUAGCUUGUGACCACACCCCCUAACCAAAGCCACGUUACAACCCUCUAAAGACCUUUUGAUUGAUGUUUCAUCUCAAUUUAUAGUGGUGAAGAUUUGAUUUUCAUGCAAGCCUAUGGUAAUGACAUUUUAUUAUUGACUAUUGAGUGCUUCAUUUAUUGUCCUUAAACACCUCGAGUGAUUUGAGUGAAUCUUUAGUGAGGAUGUGAAACUCUGUGAUAUUUUGAAUCAAAGGUAAUUACUUAGAUGAGGGGAGACAGUUAUGUUUUCAUGAUAAAAUGAUCAACUUGGAAUGUUUGAAACUUUGAUGUUUUUUCAGUUGAAUUUUCAAUGUAUGAUUACCUAUGGAUUAUUUUAAGAUAUUAUCGAUAGAAAUUAUAAGUUGAGGAGAAUUUAUUUUGAUUAUGAGUUGAGGAUUUUGCUUGAGGACAAGUAAAUGCUUAAGUGUGGGGGUAUUUGAUAAACCGUAAUUUAUACAUAUUUCUAGCCCAUGCUUAGCACAUUUUAUGGAUGAUUUUUCCUUAAAUUAGUGAAUUCGAUACUCCUAAUGCCUUAAUUUCAUGUUUUAUACUUAGGUGAGCAUAGGAGAGUGAAAGGAACGAGAAAUAGGCCAAAAAACAGAGAAAAUAGGCAUAAGUAUAAAUUUAUACAAAGCCAAAUCCUUAUCAUACAAAAUCUCAUAAGCUUACAAAAUAGUAUAAAUUUAGUAUUUAGGGCAACAGAGAUAAAAGAAAAUUUUCAAACAAAUCAUGGUAGAAAGAAUUAGAAAAUACAACAUCGAAACUCGUUUUUUUACAGUCUUGAAAUAAGCUACAGAGAGCGAAAUUUACCUAUGGUUGCGGCAGCGGAGAGCGAGGCGACGCAGGAGUGAGGAUAGCGAAUGGCGAUGAGUAGGUGGUUGGGUCACCUCAGCAAGUUCGGAUGCCUAGGGAUUUGGGGAAAAAUUUAGGGAUUAGGGGAAAUAGGUAAAUUGGGAAAAUUUUGAGGAAAGGGAUUAGGGAUUAGGGGAAAUGGGUGAUUGGGGAUUAGGGGAAAUGGGUGAAAUGGCUAAGUGUCGGGUAUGAGGAGAGGGUAAAAUGUAAGAGAAGAAAACGACGUCGUUUCAGUAAAAAAAAUUUAAAUGUUUGUGGCGUUUUUAAAAGCGCCGCUAAAGCCAAUCCAUUGCGGCGUUUAAAAUAUAACGCCACUAAUCCUCUUCUAGCUCUAACUAAAACGACAACGUUUUGGUUAAACUAUUAUUCUUUUGCGGCGUUUUUGAAAAACGCCGGUAAUGCCCUAUCGAAACGUCAUUGUUUUAGUAAAAGGAAAAUGCUUUUUGUGGCAUUUUUUUUCAAAAACGCCACUAAUCUUCAUUUUAUAUUUCAUUUUUAUUUGUUAUCAAUGUUUUUAUUUAUUUAUCAAUUUUUUUAAAUCUAAUAUUUAAAUAUAUCAAAUUGAAAAUAUUUAAAUCUAAUAUUUUUGAAAAUAUAGCAUUAGUUGAUUGUAUAAAAUUUCAUCAUUUAACAAAUCUCAAGUAAACCUUAAGUCCUAAACCAUUUAAUAUAUAUAAAGUUUAUCUAUUAUCUCUUAAAUAAUUUAAACUAUUAUCAUAAUUUUAAGAUGUUAAAAUUAAUAUUAUCUCUUUUACAAUUAUAUAAGAAAUUAUUUAAUAUAUAAAUUAAAAAAUACUAAUUAAUCUAAACCCUAAAACCCUAAACCCUAAAAAAUAAACCCAUAACCCUUAAACCCUAAACCUUAAAUCCCAACCCUUAAACCAUAAUCCCUAAACUCAUAAUCCAUAAACCCUUAAAAUAAUAACUUAUAAACCUUAAACCCUUAACCAUAUACCAUAAACCGUAAACCCUAAACUAUAAAGAUAAUUAAUUCAAUAUUUUAAAAUUAACAUUAUCUCUUUUACAAUUAUAUAAGAAAUUAUUUAAUAUGUAAAUUAAAAAAUACUAAUUAACCUAAACCCUAAACCUUUAAUCCCUAAUCCCAUAAUCCCUAAUCUAUAAUCUUUAAACCCUAAAUCUUAAAACAUAAACCAUAUUAACCCUAAACCCCUAACUCUUGACCCCUGACUCCUAAACCUUAAACCCCAACACUUAAACCACAAUCCUUAAAUCCCGUAAUCUGUAAACCUUAAAAUAGUAACUCAUAAACCUCAAACCCUUAACCAUAUACCCUAAACCGUAAACCCUAAACUAUAAUGAUAAUUAAUUCAAUAUUUUAAAAAUAAUACUAUCUAUUUUACAAUUAUAUAAGAAAAUAUUUAACAUAUAAAUUAAAAACAAUUAGUCAUAUACCAAAAAUCUUUAAAAUUAUUUUAAAUAAUAGUAUUUUAAUUUUUUUUCAUUUAUAACAAAUAUUUUUCUAUGUUUUUACUUUCAAAAUUUUUCUACGUGUCAUUAUUUUUUCCGAAGAAUUUAAAUAUUCAAUUAAAAAUAAAUUGUAUUUUAAUAUAAUUAAACUAGUUAAAUUAUAAUUAAACAGAUGAAAUAUUUUUGGCGGCAUUUUUUGAACGCCGCUAAUACUCGUUUUAUAGCGGCGUUUUUAAAAAAGCGCCACUAAAGCCACUAAAUAGCUCAAUAUAAGACGACGCCGUUUUUCAAAAAUUUUUGCGGCGCUAAAGAUCAAUAUUAGCGGUGUUUAUUAAAAAGCGCCGCUAAAGCUAUUAAAAGUUCAAUAUAGGACGACGACAUUUUGCAGAAAAACGCCGCUAAAGGUGUACCUAUAGCGACGCUUUCCAAUUAACGCCGCUAAUACUCAAUCUAUAGCGGCGUUUUUCAUACAAACGCCGCUAAUAUCACUGAAGCUCAGUUAAAACGACGGCGUUGAGAGUAAGUUUUGCGGCGUUUGUUUACCUAUCGCCGCUAAAAGUUCACCUUUAGCGGCGUUUUAUAAAAAACGCCGCUAAUUCUUGAUCGUUAGCGGCGUUUUCAAAAUGCUGAUAAUGCUCGAUCUUUAGUGGCGUUUUUCAUUAAAAUGCCGCUAAAAACCUAUUUUGCUGUACUGUGCAUGCAAUCCUAGAAAUAGGACGACAUAAAUCUACUGGAUUAGAGUCAAAUAUAAUAGGAGAAUCCAUAAAUUGAGUUAAUGCGACGAUAUGGGUUUUAAUUAGAAAGAGAUUUCAAUUAAUCAACCUGGAGUUAGUUUUUCCUCGAAAAAGAUAUUAACACAAUUUAGGGAUUUCUACAGAUCAAGACACAAGUAAAUAAAUCGUUUAAUUUAGAUUCUUAAUAAAAGUUGAAGUAUAGGUAGAUUCUUUCUUGGGUGUUGUCUAUCUCAUUGGUUAAUAUUAGAUUACUUCAUUGAUUCAUUCUUUGUUGCAUUCAUAGUUAAAUUAGUUUAGUAAAUUUAGAUUAAAACACAUCUCUCCAAAUUAUAGGCUAAAUAAUAGAAAAAUGGUAAUUUAUAGUACUUUUAAUCCUCGUGGAUACUAUAUUCCCUACUCACCAUAGCUAUACUAUUGUUCGAUAGGUGCGCUUGCCUUUGUCUUAUUUAUAGUUAGUUUAGUGACCAUCACUUAUUACAAGUUGUCUCGUUAAAACCUUUACCAGGAAAGCUCAGUGGGACAAAACCUUACCCAAAGGAAAAGAGUGCAAUGUGUUUUUGACUCUCCCUAAUGGCAAUAUCAAAUUACAUCUUUCAGUUGUCGCAUUCCAAUCUAGUGUAGUAGUUUUUCAAAUGUUGAAGUUGGCAAUGUCUUGGUAAAAAGAUUUGCUAAAUUAUCAUUAGAAGGAAUUUGUUGAACUUCUAUGUCAUCUUUCUUCUCAAGAUCAUGAGUGAAGAAUAAAUUUGGUUAAAUAUGUUUUGUUCUGUCACCUUUGAUGUAACCACCCUUCAAUUGAGAUAUACAUCAUAUAAGAUACUUGACAUCAUUUCUUGUAAAGACAAAUUACAUAUCUUCUGGAUAUGUUGGGUUAAUAACCUUAACCAAACACACUCUCGGCUUACCUCGUGCAUUGCAAUUAUUUCAGCAUGAUUUGAAGAGGCAACAACUAAUGUCUAAUUUGUUGAACGUCAUGAUACGACAGUACCUUCAUAUGUAAAUAAAUAUCCCGUUUGAGAUCGACCUUUAUGUUGAUCUGAUAAAUAUCCAACAUCAGCAUCAACAUAUCCAACUAAUAGGGAUUUUGAAUAAUUUGAAUAAAAUAACCCCAUAUUAGUGGUUCCUCUGAGAUAUCUAAAUACAUGUUUAAUUUCAUUUCAAUGUUUACGUGUUGGAGAAGAACUAAAUUUUGCUAAUAAGUUUACAGCGAAAGCUAUAUCAGGUCGUAUGUUGUUUGCAAGAUAAAUCAAUUCCUCUAUGGCACUUAGAUUUGGUACUUCAGGACCAAGAAACUCUUCAUCAUUCUUGCAAGGACGAAAUUGAUCUUUAUUCACAUCUAACGAUCUUACAACCAUUGGAGUACUCAAUAGAUGUGCUUUAUCCAUGUAAAAUUUCUUUAAGAUCUUUUCUGUAUAAGUUGAGUGAUGGAUAUGAAUUCCAUCUUUUAAAUGCUCAAUCUGCAGACCAAAACAAAACUUUGUAUUUCCCAAAUCUUUCAUCUCAAAUUCUUUUUUUAAAUAAUUUACUGCAUUUUGAAACUCUUCAAAAGUUUUAAUAAUAUUUAGAUCAUCAACAUAAAUAGAAAUUAUCACAAAGUCUGGUCCAGACCUUUUUAUAAAAACACAUGAACAAAUUGGAUCGUUUUUAUAACAUUUUUUUAACAAAUAUUUACUAAGAUUGUUGUACCAUAUAUGUCCAAAUUGUUUUAAUCCAUAUAAACUUUUUUUUAAAUCUGAUUGAGCAAUUUUCCCGAGAAACUCUAUAUCCUUCAAGGAUUUUAAAUCCUUUUGGGAUUUUCAUAUAAAUUUCACUAUCAAAUGUACCAUACAAAUAGGCUGUAACAACAUCCAUUAGACGUAUGCCAAGUUUUUCACGUACUGCCAAACUAAUAAGGUAUCUAAACAUGAUUGCAUCCACCACAUGAGAAUAUGUCUCUUCGUAAUCAAUGCCAGGCCUUUGUGAAAAUCCUUGUGCUACAAGUCGUGCUUUAUAUAUUACAACUUCAUUUUUCUCAUUUUUUUUUCGCAAAAAUAUCCAUUUAUUUCCUACCGACUUUAUAUAUUUAGGUGUUUGGACUAUAGAUCCAAAAACCUCACGUUUAGACAGUGAAUUUAAUUCUGCUUGAAUUGUGUCUUUCCAUUUUGGCUAAUCUUUUUUAUUUCUACAUUCCUUAAUAGAUUUAGGCUCAGGAUCCUUAUUUCCUUUUGCUAUUUCAAUAGCAACAUUAUAAGCAAAAUUGUUGUCGACAACUAUAUUUUUUCUGUUCCAUCUUUUUCCUAAAGUAGCAUAACUUAUUGAGAUCUCUUCGUUAUCACCAUUUUUAGGUACCUGAACCUCUUUUGGGUUUUUUUUCUAUUAGUUAUAUCUUUGGCCUCUUCUUGAGCAGUUUCUUCCACAAUAUGACCAUCUUGAAUAUUUUCUCAUUUCCUUUUACGAGGAUUUUUAUCUUUGGAACUAAUUGGCCUUCCACGUUUCAGGCAUGGAUUACUUUCUUUUGCACUAACAGUUUGCCCUAUUAGGAUAUCAAUUUGUAUUGGAGCAUUUUCAGUUGGUAUGUGAGAUUUUGAAAUUCUCUUUAGGUCAGUAAAUGAAUCUGGUAGUUGAUUGGCGAUGUUUUGCAAUUGUAUGAUCCUUUGAACUUCUUGUUCACAUUGACUUGUGCGAGGUUCUAAUUGAGAUAAUGAUGAUCCAUUCCAUGCAAUUUCUUUUACCAGUUGUAUUUUCUCUCCACUAAUGUUGAGAAUUUUGUUUCAUUAAAAUGACAAUUGAUAAAUUGUGUAGUAAAUAAAUAUCCAGUUAAUGGUUCAACAUACUUAAUUAUAGAAGGAGAUUCAUAACCAACAUAUAUCCCCAACCUCCUAUGAGGACCCCUCUUUGUGCAUUGUGGUGGAGCAAUUAGAACAUAUAUUGCAUAUCCUAAUAUGGGAAACAUUUGGCUCCUAACCAAAAGCCAAUUGUAAUAGGGAGUAUGUAUUAUAACUUGUUGGCCUAAAGCACACAAGUUUUGCUACAUGCAAAAUAGCAUAUCCUCAAGCUGUAAUAGGAAGUUUUGUUCUCAUAAGCAAUGGUCGAGCUAUUAAUUGGAGUCGUUUGAUAAAUGAUUCAACUAAACCAUUUUGUGUGUGAAAAUGAGCUACAAGAUGUCCAGUUUUUAUCCCAAUUGGCAUACAAUAAUUAUUAAAAGCUUGGGAUGUAAACUGACCAGCAUUAUCAAGAUGAAUAGUCUCGUAAACGCUAGGUUGUGAGUCAAUAAUAAACACAUAUGUGACCACCUACUAGAUGCAUCUAUUAAUACCAUAAAAUAUCUGAAUAGUCCACAUGGUGGAUGAAUGGACCCACAUAGAUCAUAUUGAAUACGUUCUAGAAAUAUGUGAGAUUUAAUCCUAACUUUAACUGGUGAUGGUCUAAUAAUCAAUUUUCCUUGAGAGCAAGCAACACAAGAUAAAUCCUUGAAUUCAAGAAUCUUUUGGUUCUUUAAUGGGUGUUUAAUUGAAUUCUCGAUGAUUCUUCGCAUCAUAAUAGAUUUGGGAUGGCUUAAUUGGUCACGCCAAAUAGUAAAAGUAUGUGGUGCUACAAACUUCUGGUUUGUAGUAACACGUGUCUUAAUUGCACUAACAUGCGUAUAAUAUAAACCUGAUAAAAAAGCAAGUAGCAUUUCUAACAUAUUUCUUUCCAUAUUCAACAUUUGUAAUAUAUAGAUAUUCAUAUUUUUCCCAUUCAUAGUCUCAAUAUGAUAACCAUUAAGACGAAUAUCUUUAAAACUUAAUAAAUUUAUUUGAGAAUUAGUGGAAUAUAAAGCAUCAGCAAUGAAAAAUUUUGUACAUUUAGGUAAUAAUAUAAUAGCUCUUCUAGAGCCUUCAAUAAGUUUUGAACUACCCAAUAUUGUAUUAACAUGGGUAUCACUUAUUAUCAAAUAAGAAAAAAUAUUUUUUUUAUCUUUGAGUAUCGUAUGUGUUAUAGCAAUAUUUACAAGAUACAUGUCUCCGUUGAUUUUGGGUCCAACGAAAUUUUGUUAAAUAUUUAUAUUCUUCAUAACAAUAAACAAAAUAUAAUAUGAGAAAUAUUACAAAUAUUUAUUAAAUAUAUAAAUUAUUCUUUAUGCAAAAAAGAGAGAGACAUAUUUAAAAUAACAUAAAAAUGUCAAAAUAACAUCAACUUUUCUAAUGAUUCUAAAAAAAAUCUACCACAUCUAGGUGAGUUAUAUUAUUAAGGUCAUAUUCUUACAAAUUCUGAUAUCCAAUAUAUAAUUGGAAAUGUUAAAGUCAAAUUUUUUUUUUCAGUUUUGAAUAUCCAACAAAUAGUGAUAUUGAAUUUGGAUGAUAAUACUCACAUAAUUUGUAAAUAAAUUUUAAAAAAUUCACGAAUUUUAGUAAUUUAAAAAAAAAGAAGCAAAUAUUUGAUUUGCUAUCAUUCUAGUUACACUAUUUACUUUCUAUUUUGAACUUUAAAAUUUGUAUUAUUUGUCCAAAGAAUUAGCUAGAUAGACCAUUUAUAUUAUUAUAUAUUUAAAUUUCUGAUUAUGUUGAUAUCAUGAGUUAAUUGAACAUCAAUUUAGUUAGGGAAAUUUUGAAAAUAUCUUUUCGUACUUAAAAUAAAUAAUAUUAUUCUAGGUAUUUUAGUCUUUUUAUUUUUUAAAAAUAAUAAAUAAUUUGUAUAUGGUGGGAUUUGAACCAUAAGUUAAUAAAAUUUUAAUUUACCACUUAAUCAAUAUUUUAUCAUAAAAUAUUUUAUAUAUUUUAAUUUUAUUAUGCAUACUUUAUUAUCUCUAUAAAUUAUAUAGUUGUACUUAUAGUAUUAAUGUAAUAGCCUGAAUUUUCAGAGGUGUCGGAAUAGUGAUUCGAGAUCACUAAAUCUGACAAAUGAGUAGAAAAUAUUAAUAAUUUAGUGAAUAUAAGUUAAGUGUGAAGUCAGGAAAAUUUUUGAAAUAGCGAAUAGUGUACUAGAAAUAAAUAAAAAAAUUAAAUUAGAAUCGGAAAUGAGAUAUCGAGAGUUUGAAAAUUUUUAAAACGAGCCAUAAAUAUUUUUAUAAAUAUUUAUGGAGUGUUAAUAAGUUAGUAUUAAAGUUUCGUCAAGAAAUUUUAAAGUUUCGAUAGUUAAUUGAAUAAAAAGGAUUAAAUUGUAACAAAUGUAAAAUUAUGGGAAAUGAUUAAAUAGCUUAAAUGAUAAAAGAGAGAGGGUUUAAAAGGCAAAUAGACCCCAGGUCUAUUUGGGCUGGACAGCAAGGUGCAUGAAAUCAGCAGGAAAAUUGAUGAAUUAAGGGCAAAAUUGGAAUAUUGCAAAAUUUACUUAAUAAACUAGGACUAAAGUGGAAUUAUCUAGAAUUCUCAUUAUUUUUCUGCAUUAUCAUCAGUAAAAACACCAUAGAAGGGUUUUCUUAAGCUGGUUUUUCAUAUUUUUACUGCAAAUAGAGAACCCGAAGCAAGUCGAGGAAAAGAAAAAGUAGCUGAUUAGUCCCUGAAUUUUCACAAAUUUUACAAAUUGACCCAGGUAAGUUCAUAUGGUUGAAGCUUAAUGAUUAUAUGUUAAUUUUAUGAAUUAUAUAAUGUAUGAUGAAAUAUAUUUAUUGAUGAAUAGAAAAUAAAAUAACAACCCGAAAAUCGAAUAAAUGAUCAAAUUGAGUGGAAUGUCGGAUUUGAGUACUUCUGAUCAGUGACAAGUGAUAAGUGGUAGCCUCAGCUACACUUAUCUGAUCAGUGAUAAGUGAAAAAUGAUAAGUGGUAGCUUAGCUACUCUUAUCUGAUCAGUGACAAGUGAUAAGUGAUAAGUGGUAGCCUCAGCUACACUUAUCUGAUCAGUGAUAAGUGACAAAUGAUAAGUGGUAGCUUAGCUACUCUUAUCUGAUCAGUGGCAAGUGAUAAGUGAUAAGUGGUAACUUUAGCUACACUUAUCUGAUCAGUGACAAGUGAUAAAUGUGAUCAGUGUAAGACCGUGGCAGGACUAUGAUUUUAAAAAGUGCAUGAUAAGUGAUCAUAUGCAAGACCAUAUUUAUACUAUGGCAAAGUGAAAGUGAAGUACUCAAUUUUCCGUUACCAUUCCCUAAUUUGGUUAAAGAAUGAUAUAUGACAAAUGGGCCCAAAAGAAUUAAUGGAGAUGGAUAAGUGGUAGUGAGUUUAUACAGGGAACUCACCAAUGACUGUGAUUGACAGGUGAACUUAAUAAUUGUGUAUAUAGUAUAAGUGUAUAAAUAUUUGGUAAAAUUUAUGUUUUAUCCCUAUGAACUUACUAAGCUUUUAUAAGCUUACUUGAGUGUAUUCAAUGUCUCUUGUAGAUUGACGUGAAAGUAUACGGAGGAUCGGAUCAACACAGAGGAUCACACUAUCCAGAUUAUCUCAGGUAGCUUUUGUAAAUUUCCUUUUUGAUUUAUAUGGCAUGUAUAAGGCUUGGUGAUUAUAUAAAUAUUAAGACUUGUUUAAUGAAUAUACAUUAAAGUAAAGAAUGAUGAGUAUGUUAAAUAGUAUAAUUAUAAUAGAAGUAUAAUUUUGUAUUAAAUUGAUUGAAAUGAAUUGGUUGGUUAGAUUGGUCUCGAUUUUAAAAAUUGCAGGGAAGGUUAGAUAUUUAUAAAGGGGUUAUAUUGAGCAAAAAAAAAAAUUCUUAUGGUUUCGAUUUAAUUCUAGUUUGGUCUCGAAGUAUGUUUUGGGCUUUGGAGGCCCAUCUAAAGGACACCAUGACAUGUUUUAGUAAAUAAAUAGUAUUUAACUCGUAUCAAUGGAAAAUCAAUUCGGUAAACUCCGGUAAUGCCUCCUACCCUAUUCCGGCGAUGAAUAUGGGUAAGGGGUGUUAAAAUUAAUGUUUAAACCCUUAACAAAAUUGAUAGGAGUCAACCGAGUGCCAAUUCGAUUAGAAAAAUUACAAAAAUACUCUUAUUUAUUUAAAAUAAUUUCUAUUAUUUUAGGGUGUUUUAGUCAUUUUCAUAUUUUAAAAAAACCCAAAAAUAAUUUACACCCAUGCCUUUGGUUGAUAAACUUUAACUUUACCACUCAACCAAUGCUUUAUCAUAAAACAAUUAUAUAUUUAAAUCUAAUUUUUAUUUUAAUAUCGUACAUAUUGUACGUGUUAUUAUUAAUUAGUUUUAAAUCAUACAUUUUAUUAUUUAUUUUAUGUUAUUUUUAAAUACACUCAUAUUUUAAAUAUAUAAUUUUUACACCAUAAACAUGUGAUAAAAUUUCUAGUAUAGAUAAAUUGAUUGACUUGAAGGUUUCAUUUUCUAGUAUAGAUAAAAUUAGAGGUUGGGAUGCAAACAUUUGCUAAUAUUUUGGUGUCACUUAUGAACUACUGUGCAAAUCGUAUAAUUUGAUGCUAGGAGCAAAGCAUAGCAGUGGUAACAUGGCAACAUGCUAAUCUCUACCUCACAAUCACAAACGUCUGAAGUUAUUCAUGAAAUUCUUCUGUCUUGGCCAGCUCAAAUCGCAAAUGUUAAAUGGAUUUAUGGAACAACUUUAAUAAUUAAUCUUACGUUAUAAAACAACCAAGUUUCCCUCUUCAAACACUAUAAAAUCCCCUCUCUUCACUCCAAAUUCUCCAUCCUCAAGCUAUACAACUCUUUCAUUUUUACAUUAGGCAAGAAGCUCCUAGGGUUUGAGAGAGAUGGCUUCGAAAAGAUCAGCAUCACUUGCCCUCUUUUUUACACUCAACAUUCUCUUCUUUUCUCUUGUCAGUGCUUGUGCUUCUUGCCCUUCCUUAAAACCAAAACCAAAGCCCACACCGUUCCCAUCUCCUUCUACAAAAGGCAAAUGACCUAGAGAUGCCCUUAAAUUAGGUGUAUGUGCAAAUGUGCUUGGUUUAGUCAAUGUCACUAUUGGUUCACCCCCAGUGCAGCGGUGUUGCUCCCUUCUCCAAGGCUAUUGAAGUUGGCAUGCAUGCAGUAGAUAAAGCAACCAAGGAGCAGACCAUGCAACAUAAGUUAUGCGGAUGAAGUAUGAAGAAGCAGAUCAAGCUGCACUUACAGCACACAAAGUACAUACAGUCCAAGUUAUGUGGAUGAAAUACAUACAGCUACUGAAGUUGAUGCUACUGUUCAAUUUCAGUUUCAUUUUGUUACCUUAAGUAAUAUUUUGUAACUCAGUUAAAUUAGAACUAAGUAGGUAGUAUAUUUAAUUGGGUAUUGAUAAGAUUGAUAGAUCAGCUUACCUAAUUGUGCAAGUUGAUCUGCAAAUUGCAAUAUGCAAGCGGUGUAAGUAAGUCUAAAAAUAGUAAAAAUGUUAAGCUGACCAACUUAUGACUGGUAUAUGUAUUGGCAUUAUGUAAUCAAUGAAUUUUAAUAGAAAUCAUUCAAGAAAAAUACUCUCUCAAUUUUUUGUUUUCUUUCACCACGUAAAAUUCUGUUUGUUUAUCCUGCAAAUAUCGAGCCUUUUGAAGCUCAAUCUUCAUUCAUUCUUCAUCCGGAUUUAUUACGUUGUUACUCAAGUUUUACACUGAGCUUCAUACUUCCUCCGGGUAAAUUAUUAAAAAACCCAACAAUUGGUAUCUAGAGGCAAAUUCUUAGUGGACCUAUCAUAUUUCAAUCCUUAAAACUAUGUCUUCCUCAGGAUUCUCACCAGUGCCACCACUAGUCUUCAAUGGAGAGGGCUACCACAUUUGGGUAGUGAAAAUGAAGACCUACUUGCAGGCAUUCGAUUUGUGGGAAGUUAUCAACUCAGAAGCUGAACCAGUACCUCUAAGAGCUAACCCAACAGUGGCUCAGAUCAGAUAACAUUCAGAUGAAAGAACCAAAAGGUACAAAGCCAUAUCUUGCAUCCAAAAUAGUGUGUCUAAUGUGAUUUUCACAAGAAUCAUGGCUUGUAAGUCACCAAAGCAAGCCUUGGAUAAGCUAAAAGAGGAGUUCCAAGGGACUGAAAGAACAAGACAGCAAUAGCUACUAGAUUUAAGAAGGGACUUUGAAAACUUGAAGAUGAAGGAAAAAGAAACAGUAAAGCAAUACUCAGACAGAAUCAUGACUGUAGUAAACAGCAUAAGGCUACUUGGAGAACAAUUUAGUGAAGCAAGAAUUGUGGAGAAGGUGAUCUCAACCUUACCUAAAAGGUAUAAGACUCGAGGGACCUGACCAGGAUUUCAUUGACAGAGCUGAUCAAUGCUCUUUAUGCUCAAGAGCAAAGGAGAGCAAGUAGAUUGGAGGAGCAUCAAGAAGGUGCCUUCCAAGCCAAAACCAAACCAGCCUCAAACUCCUCUAGAUACAAUGGGAAGAAAACCUGGAAAGAUAAGCCUAGAACAGAUGGUGCAAGAAAAUAUCCAUCUUACCCACACUGCAAAAGGCUAAGUCAUCUGGGUGAAGUAUGUUGGUUUAGGCCUGAUAUGCAGUGCAAAAUCUACAAAAAGAUGGGCCAUACAGAAAAAGUUUGCAAAAACAAAGGCAAACAAAGGUCAAAUCAACCUCAACAGCCAAGAGUUGAAGCUCAAGUGGCAGAAGAAGAAAGUGAUCAAGAAGAAUGAGUCUUUGCUGUCUCUUUGCUCAUCUACCAAAAGAAAAGCCACAAAAGGUUGGUUGAUUGACAGUGGAUGUACUAACCACAUGACUCUGGAUGCUGCUAUCUUCAAGACAAUUGACAGAAGCUUCAAAACAAGGGUGAAUGUUGGAAAUAAACACUUCAUCAAAGUAGAAGGCAAAGGAGGUGUGCUGAUUGACACUCCUACAGGUACCAAACUUGUUUCAAAUGUACUUUUGGUGCCUGAAAUAGAUAGAAACCUACUCAGUAUAGCUCAGUUGCUAGAAAAAGGGCUACUCUGUGGUGUUCAAAGGUAAGGAGUGCCUAAUCAGUGAUCCAAAUGGAUUCAAGCUCAUGAAAGUGACCAUGGCUGACAAGAGCUUUGUGGUGGACUGGAACAAGGGCGCAGACAGUGCUUACACAGCUGCUUAGGAUGAAUCCAAGUUGUGGCACUUGGCCAUGUCAACUACAACUCAAUGGCUCAGCUAACCAAAGAAGAUUUGGUUGAAAACUUCACUAACUCAAUUGAAAAGGAAGAAGUUUGUGAAGUAUGUCAGCUAGGAAAACAAGCUAGACUACCAUUUCCUACAAACAAAGCUUGGAGAGCUUUUGAAAGACUGCAACUUGUACAUACUGAUGUGUGUGGUCCAAUCAAGACUCAAUCACUGAAUGGAAGUAGGUAUUUCAUCUUAUUCAUUGAUGAUUACUCGAGAUAUUGCUGGAUUUAUUUUUUGAAACAAAAAUCAGAAGUGGCUUCAGUAUUUUUGAAGUUUGAAGUUGCAGCAGAGACUAAAACAGGUUGCAAGUUGAAGACAUUGAGGUCUGAUAAUGGGACUGGGUAUACUUCAUUCGGGUUACAUACUUUUUGUGAUGAAGCAGGCAUCAAACACCAGCUCACCAACACUUAUACACCUUAAAAAAAUGGUGUAAGUGAAAGAAAGAACAGAAGCUUGAUAGAUAUGGCUAGGUGCCUAAUGUUUGAAAGAAAUUUGCCUAAGACAUUUUGGGCAAAAGCAGUCAACACUGUAGUUUACCUUCAAAACAGGCUCCCAACCAUGGCUUUGGCUCAGAAAACUCCAUUCGAGGCCUGGUUCAGGUUCAAACCAUCACUGGCUUACUUAAGAGUUUUUGGAUGUGUAUGUUAUGCUCAUGUUCCAGCAGCAAAAAGAGACAAGAUUGCUAAGAAAGCUCAACCUGGUAUUCUGGUAGGCUACAGCAGUAUCAAGAAGGGUUGUAAGAUACUUGAUCCUUCAACAAACAAGGUCUUUGUGAGCAGAGAUGUUGUAUUCGAUAAGAAGGCAAGCUGGAACUGGGAUAAAAAUGAACCAGAAACUGUUGCUGAAGAUUUGGUGACAGAUCAGACUGAAGCUAAUCAAAAUGGUUCUAAAAUAGACAUUGGUGAUGAACCAAUCAGAGGCACUAGCUCAUUGGUUGAGAUUUAUGAAAGAGCUCAUAUGGCUGUUAUUGAACCAAGCUGCUUUGAAGAAGCUGAAGCUCAUUAAGGCUGGCAACAAGCAAUGGCUGAUAAAAUCAGUAUGAUUGAGAAGAAUCAGACCUGACAGCUAGUUGAAAAACCACUCAAUAGAAAAGCCAUUAGAGUGAAGUGGGUGUUUAGAGCCAAGCACAAUGCUGAUGGAAGCUUGAACAAACUGAAAGCAAGGCUGGUUGUAAAAGGGUUCAGCCAAAAGUAUGGCAUUGACUACUUUGAAACCUUUGCACCAGUGGCUAGGCUUGACACCAUAAGGCUGCUAGUUGCCUUAGCAACACAAAUGCAAUGGAAAAUCCAUCAGCUUGAUGUGAAGUCAGCCUUCCUCAAUGGAUUCAUUGAAGAAGAGAUAUAUGUUGAGCAGCCUGAAGGCUUCAAAAUUGUUGGUGAAGAAGACAAUGUGUACAAACUAAAGAAAGCCUUGUAUGGCUUGAAACAGGCUCCAAGAGCAUGGUAUAGCAGGAUCGAUGGCUAUCUAGCUAACCUUGGAUUUGAAAGAAGCAUCAGUGAACCUACUUUGAAUAUGAAAAAGCAAGGUAGUGAAACUCAACUAAUAGUGUCUCUAUAUGUUGAUGAUUUGUUAGUAACAGGAGGAGACCAAGCAAUGUUGACAGACUUCAAGUACAAAAUGCAACAAGUGUUUGAGAUGUCUGAUUUGGGACAAAUGUCUUACUUUAUUGGCAUGGAAGUAUCCCAAGCUCAGCAAGGGAUCUUCCUAAGUUAGAAGGCUUUUGCCUUAAAAAUUCUAAACAAAUUCUCCAUGUUGAACUGCAAAGCAACAAGUACACCAGUUGCCACUGGAGAGAAACUAUCAAGCCAAGGCGAUUUUGAAAAGGUUAGUGAAUCAACCUAUAGAAGUCUAGUUGGAUGUUUGCUCUAUUUUACUGCCACUAGACCAGACAUUAUGUUUGCUGUAAAUUUGCUUUCAAGAUUCAUGCAUUGCUGCAAUGAAAAGCACUUUCAAGCUACCAAAAGAGUUCUCAGGUACAUUAAAGGUACACUGAGAUAAGGAAUGAUGUUCACCAAGGCUGAAAACAUGAAAUUAAUUGGCUAUGCUGAUAGUGAUUGGGCUGGAUCGAUAGAUGAUAUGAAUAGUACCUUAGGGUAUCUAUUCACCCUUGGUUUAGCCAUUUUUUGCUGGAGUUCAAAGAAGCAAACUGUUUUUGCUCAAUCAACUGCUGAAGCAGAGUAUGUGGCAGCUGCAGGAGCUGUCAACCAAGCCAUUUGGCUAAGAAAAAUAAUGGCCGUUUUAAAUCAACACCAAAGGGAAGCAACAGAGAUCAAUUGUGACAACCAAUCUGUUGUUGCAAUUGCAAAAAAUCCAGUGUUCCAUGGGAGAACAAAACACUUCAAGAUCAAAUUUCACUUUGUUAGAGAGACGGAGCAAGCUCAAGAAGUGAAGCUGAUUCAUUGCAGUUCUGAACAACAACUUGCUGAUAUCCUAACAAAUCCCCUUAGUGUGUCAAGAUUUGAAGAUUUAAGAGCCAAAAUGGGAGUUUGCAGCAUGCAAGCCAAAGAGGAGUGUUGAAGUUGGCAUGCAUGCAGCAGAUAAAGCAACAAAUGAGCAGACCAUGCAACAUAAGUUAUGCGGAUGAAGUAUGAAGAAGCAGAUCAAGCUGCACUUACAGCACACAAAGUACAUACAGUCCAAGUUAUGUGGAUAAAGUACAUGCAGCUACUGAAGUUGAUGCUACUGUUCAAUUUCAGUUUCAUUUUGUUACCUUAAGUAAUAUUUUGUAACUCAGUUAAAUUAGAACUAAGUAGGUAGUGUAUUUAAUUGGGUGCUGAUAAGAUUAAUAGAUCAGCUUACCUAAUUGUGCAAGUUGAUCUGCAAAUUGCAACAUGCAAGCAGUGCAAGUAAGUCUAAAAAUAGUAAAAAUGUUAAAGCUGACCAGCUUAUGACUGGUAUAUGUAUUGGCAUUAUGUCAUCUUUUUAAUCAAUGAAUUUCAAUAGAAAUCAUUCAAGAAAAAUACUCUCUCAAUUUUUUGCUUUCUUUCACCAUGUAAAAUUCUGUUUGUUUAUCCUGCAAAUAUCGAGCCUUUUGAAGCUCAAUCUUCCUUCAUUCUUCAUCCGGAUUUAUUACGUAGUUGCUCAAGUUUUACACUGAGCUUCAUACUUCCUCCGGAUAAAUUAUUCAAAAACCCAACAAAGGCCUUGCUGAUAUUGAAGCUGCUGUUUGCCUUUGCACAGCAAUCAAAGCCAACGUUUUAGGCAUCAACCUCAAUGUCCCAGUUUCCCUCAGCUUGCUUCUCAAUGUCUGCUCAAGGAAAGUUCCAUCUGGCUUCCAAUGUCCCUGAUCACUGUUGCAAAUUCUUUCUCUGUUUGGUGUUUUUCAUGGUUUUGAAGGUCUAAUUAAUUUGUUGUUGGCAUUGGUAACUCCUUGUUUCCUUGUGGAUUCAUAUUGAAUAAAUAUUACUAUUUAUUUAUGAAUAAUUAUCUUAAACAUAUGUGAAGAUUUGGAUUGAUACCAUUAAAUUUUAAGAUAUAAUAAAAAUAAUAAUUAAAAAGUAUAUUUGACAUCAUCAUGAACUUGAAGUAGAGUUUUUUUACUUCACUGACAGUAAAUUGAAUAAUUAUCUUUUAUUUAUUUAACUAUUUUUUCUUAGCAAAUAGAUAAUUUAAUUUCUUUUGAAUUUUUCAUUUUUUUGAAGUGAUAUUUCAUUUUUGAAAAUGUUAGACAAUAGCUUACAUGAAAAUGAAGAAGAGUGUUUUAUCCUCUUGUACCAAUUCAUCCACCAUAAUGUGUCUAUCUAAUCCUUAGCUAAAAAAAACCCUCAAAUAAUACUUAGAUUCAAAUUAAUGGAAUUAAUCCAAUAAGCAUCGAGCAUCUAAAGCAAAUAAGGGUAAUGUUGAAGCUUUAAGACCAAUUAGUGAAGAAUCAUCAAACAAACAAUAACAAUUCUAAUAAACUCAAAGAUACGGGUACAAUAGAAAAUAAUACUAGGUUGACUUGAAAGGCUUAAAUAAUUUAAUAAAAAUAAAAAACUUAAACGAUCUAAUUUAACUUUUAUAUUAUUCUUAAAUAAAAAUUUAAUCCUAUUUUAAUUACUAAAUUAUUAACCUACAUAUAAAUGAUUCAACUCAUUGUAAAUUAGCCAACAACAUAAAAGAUGUUAAAACGAAACAUGCCAAUCAGAAAAUUAAAUGAAAAUAAUAAAAUAAUAAAUAAUCUUCAAAAUAGUUGAAAGGUGAAGAUUUGGUAUGGGAGCUAGAAUGACAUACAAGAAUAUUAAAUUUUAGGAUUGUAAUAACAUUGAGGAAAGAAGAGGGGAUGAUAGUAUUUGAACUCGUAUCAUUUAUGUGUUAGAUGAGAGUCUUAACUAAUCGUUACUUAAAGUAAAUUAUACGUAUAACAUAUUUUAUUAAUAAAUAAAAUAUUAUUUUUAUUAAUUUUAAACUAUUAAUUAGUUGCUUUUUUCCUUUAAAUUAUUCUAUCAAAUUUAGACAACAAUAUAUAUUGUUGAUAGCAAUAACUAAUCUGUGGACGUUUUUGUAAUAGAUAGAAAUGUGAAAUGUGAUUUAUUCUUUCAUCGAGCUUUCUUCAAAACUGGCAUGGAAUGAAAAUGGAAAACAAAAGGAUAUGCAAUUUAGUUGAAUGCAAGGUGGGUCAUAGUUUUGCAGGCAGUUUAGACGGAUAUCACAUAAAGUAAAUUUGUUUGUAUUAUAGAAUUGGGUCCAAAUUAAAAAAGAAGGAACAUAAUAAAUUGGAUCCAUUUUGAAGGCUCGAAUGAUUUGUGGGUUGAGAUCUUUCACGGGUUGCUAAUCAUAUACUUAAAAACGAAAUGUUGGUUUGAUAGAAGCUUAAUUAAUAACAAGCUCUCUUAAUAAAGUCGUAUAUUCCCCUCAUAUGAACGAGGGCUGGAUAUUCAAGAUUCUAACAAGUUUUCCUGGAAAUCUCUUAUAUAAGCAUCCAAUUUAAUAACUGAUCCCCAAAAGUAAAAAUUAAAACCAAAUUGUAUGCAGCUCACAAUGUCAAUAUCUGAUCAAACAAUACUUUCUUGGUCAAAUCUUUUCAACUUUCGAUGGUGAAUUUUGUUUGAAAAUGUUUAUAUUUUAUUUUCUUUUUUCAUUUAAAAAAAAUCGAUUUUAUUGAGGAUAUUGAUGCUUGUUUUUAAAUUAUAUUUAAAAAAUUUAGACAUUGAGGAUGGGUGUGACAAAGACAAUUUCAAUGAAAUCAUAAGGAAUAAACUACAAAUUAAGAGAUUGUUUAUUCUGUGUUUGCAAUAAACUUCUCAUAUAUUGAAUCACAUCUGUCAACUGGAAUCAAGCUAAAGAUUGUCUGUCAAGUUUUACAGACAUAUGGUGACAAUAUAUGUUGUCCACCUCUGCCACGUGGGAACCUGCUUUUAGUUUUUCUUUUGAUAAAAAAAAAAAGCCCUGCCUUACCUGGAUCCACUUAGCUUUUAAGUUGAAGAUAAAAUUAAUAUUGACUUCAUUAAGUUUCAGUAAUUUCUGUAGUGGAAAGAAAAAUCUGGUUUCAGUCAAGACAUGACAAUGUAUAUUAUUGUAAAUGGAAUUCUUUUGAGAUGAAAGCACGGAGUCUAUGGUGGAACCCAAUACUCAUCCGUCAUACUUGUGUGAGAAAUUCAUUUUUUCUUCUUCUUUUUCCCAAGUAACAUGAAUUUUUUACAAGUAUAUUUUUGUAAAUAGGAGAUUCACAAGCUUCUCAAAGCUGCUAAUUUUUUUUUUGAAAUAUGACUUUUUCUGAAAAAACAUAAUUUUCUAAAUAUAAAUUAUUCUAAAUAAUGAUUAUUCUAAACAUAAUUAUUCUCAAAACGUUAUUAUUUUAACAAGAGUUGUUUUGAUCUUUAAUUAAACCCUAUUAUGAAUAAAGUUAUUUUGGACAUAACUAUUUUCAAACAACAAUUGUUUUAAACAACAAUUAUUCUAAAUAAGAGUUGUUGUUCUGAAGAAAAUAUUCUUGAUAAUAUAAUUUCCUCAAAAUAUACUAUUUUUUAAUCUUAAAGAAGAGAUAAAAUGUUUAGCUACAAUUUUAAUAUUGUUCUUCAGCCUAGAAAACUUCCAUUGACAACAUGCAAACCUAGAAACCAUCCCUUGUGUUGGAUUGGGAUCAUUAGCUCAUUACAAUGAUCAGUGUCUAGCUGCAAGUUCUUUUGGGAUCUUGAAAUUCGAGGUAAAUGUGAAUGAUAUGUCUUUGAUGACUUUUGGAUUAACAUGCCAUGACGAUGCAGGAUGCAUUCAAGAUUGGGAUAUAGCACAAUCAAAACAAAACAAAACAAAACGAAACCGAAGAUCAACAUGAAGGUCUGACAAGAUAGCCUUCAACACGGAAGUAAUUAUAUGUUGUUUUGAACCUAAAUCUGUUUUUGUCUUCAGUAGUUAGUUGUUGUAAUUAUCCGAGUUUGGAUGAGAUAAUAAAAGUAAACGAAGUAGAUACUUAUAUAUUAAGUAUUAACUACCAUGUGUUGAAGACAAUUAAAGCAACCCAUUGUGUGAACAUUAAAUUCUGUACGUUUUUUUCCAAUAAUUAGCCUGAUAAUGCUCCUCGGAUGAAACAUAUAGAUAGAUCAAGUGAUUUCACGAUUCCAUUAUCUUCCAUAAUUAAAGGUUGGGAUACAAACAUCUUAAUAUGAAAUGCUGUUGCAAAACGAAUAAUUUGAUGCUAGGAGCAGUGGUAACAUGGCAGUGUGCUAAUAGUCACCUCAUAAUCACAAACGUCCAUAUUUCACGAACAUCGUCUCCUAAGCUAGCUCAAAUCACAAAAUGAAAGUGAUAUAUGAUUCAAUUUUAUUAAUUAAGCUGACGUUGAAAACAACCAAGUCGCCCUCUUGAAACACUAUAAACCUCACCCUUCACUCCAAAUUCUCCAUUCUCAAAGUAUAUUACUCUAACUUCUACUUUAGGCACGAAGCUCCUAGGAUUUGAGAGAGAUGGCUUGGAAAAGGUUAAAAUCGCUUACCCUCUUCCUUGUACUCAACAUUCUCUUUUUUUCUCCAGUCAGUGCUCGUGGUUCUUGCCCUUCCCCCAGCCCAAAACCAAAACCAAAGCCCACUCCCUCCCCAUCCCCUUGUGCGAAGGGUAAAUGCCCCAUUGAUGCCCUUAAAUUAGGUGUAUGUGCUAAUAUACUUGGUUUGGCUAAUGUCACCAUUGGUACACCCCCAGUCCAACCAUGUUGCUCCCUUCUCCAAGGUCUUACUGAUCUUGAAGCUGCUGUUGCCUUUGCACAGCAAUCAAAGCUAAUAUUUUAGGCAUCAACCUUAAUGUCCCGGUUUCUCUCAACUUGCUUCUCAACAUCUGCUCAAGGAAAAUUCCAUCUUACUUCCAAUUUCCCUAAUCAUGAUGUUUUUUGUGGUUUUAAAGUUCUAAUUAAUUUCCAAUUCCACUUCCCAGUGGUAAUUGCUUGUGGUAGCGUUUGUUUCCUUGUUGAUACAAAAUAAGUGUACUACCUUUUUUCUUUACAAAUGUUUUUUUUUGUACCUUUAAUGCAAAAUGAAAUACUAAUAUCAUUCAGUUUGUUCAUAACCAUGAGUUACGCUAAGCAUGUAAGUUAUGUUAGGAUUAUUUUAUUUUAUUAAGCAUCAUUAGUGAUGGGUUUUUUUGGAUUGAAUAAAAUUUAAUUCCCAAAUAAAAUUAAAGAUAUAUUAAUUUCAGAAUACAUUAAAUUAGACCUCUAAUUAAAUUUUAAUUCAUUUGUAGUGUUCACUCUGUAUUAACUUAAGUCCAAAUCAAAUAUAUAGCUACACGUAUAUGACUAAUAUAGUUUGAUGUGCAAAAGGUUAAAGUGUUUCAAAGUAGUAUAGUAUUAAGUACGUCUGUUGGGUAGUGGUAAAAUUAGAGGAGCAAGCAAGGGCCUUGACUCAUCCUUAGUCAAAUGCGAACAAUUUUUCUUUCAAAAGUUAAAUCUUUCAAUUUAAGUUUUUAACUUCUAAAUGAAUAAAUAAUUUAUAUUUUUUCCUUUUAAAAAAAUUAAUAAUGCAAUUUAAAAUUUUUUAACACAAAAUUUUAGCCUUGGUCUAUUCAAAAUAUUUUUAGUCCCCUAAAUAAAAUUCCUAACUUCACCUCUAACGUUGGGUAUACAAUUGGUGCAUGGUGUAGCAUUGCUUAGAAGCAAUCAUGGCUCUCACAAAGAGUCCAUAUAUCCUCUUAAAGGUAUUAUAUCAUUAAAGGAAAUUAAGCAUGGUUAUAGAUCAUUUACGAAAGGGAUAAAUCUCAAAAUUAUACAUAAUGAAUUUUGAUUUUGUACAAUUUUAUACAUAAAAUUUUAAUUUGAUCCAAUUCUUUUAAAUUAUUAACACAAUUAUUAAUAUAACAUUAUUUUAUGUUUAUAUAUUGCACAAAUCAAUAGUUAUAUUUAUCCAAUAUAAAAAUAAAUUGAUGUAUUUAUUUUUUUAAAUAUGUAUGAUUAAAUCAAAAUUAAAGUUUCAAGUAUAUAUACAUUUGAACCACAAUUAAAGUUUCAUGUGUAUAAUUGCAUCAAAUUAAAGUUCAUGUAUAUAAUUAUACAUUAAAUCAAAAUUCAUGUAUAAUUUUAAGAUUUAUCCCUUUAUGAAAUUAUAUGAUUUAUAAAUUACUAGUUUUAUGGAUGAUAAUUUUCAUUAUGGAGUCUGUAAUGGAAUUUUAAGAUAAUUUGAUUUAAAGUAUGUGAACAAAUAUAAUUUCAAGAGGUUGAGGACAUCACACUAGUUUUCAUACUUAUAUAAUUGAAAGUUCAUACUUUCAAUCACACAAAUACAAUAGCCAACCCCAUGAAUAAUAUCUAAAAUUAUCUUGGAUUACUUCAUCCACAAAGCUUUAAAUUCAUUUCGUAAUGUUUGGAGCCUCGCCUCCCUCAAUUUGUCAACUCUUUAGAAAGAGCUUUGCAAAAUCUUUAUUUUAUUAUUCUUUUUUUUUUGUGGUAGUGGUAUUGGUCACUUUUAUAAACGUCAAGCUUGUUUAUCGUUCUUUCUUAUUUUCAUCAAAUCAUCCUUUUUAUUUUGAAAUAAUAAUGACUCAUUUUGUGAAAAAUCAUAACCAUUUUGUACAACCUCCUAAAUAUCUUGUGAGCAAAACAAAACUUUCAUACAAAGACAUUAAUUUUCAUUAUUCUCUUUGGUAAGAUGAUGAAACUGAAAUUGAAACAUUCCAUUAUUUGUCACCUCUUAUACUACAUAAUCAAGUUUUAAUACCUUUUUGUUGGAAGAAUAAGGGAGAAAGAAAACAAUUUUAGAGAAGAGAAUAGGAUGAAACUAACUUUGCAUUGUGAAUUUCUUUUCUUUUCUUUUCUUUUUCUCCAUUUUUUUUUUGCUUACAUUUUGUAACGCCCCAAUUUUUGCGAAUUCUGUGAAUGUUGGCAUAGUUUUAAUUAUGUUAGUGGGUCUCUAGAAGGCCCAAGCUUAAGAUAGAACCCGGUAAUUUUAGUUAAUUUUUGUUCCAUAAGAAAAAGGGAGUGAAAUUAUGAAAUAGGACCUAUGUGAAAAUGUUUGAAAAUGCUAUAGGCUAAUUUGUAGUGGCCAAAUAAAUAGUAGUGCAAAAUAGGAGGAUUUGCUUGUCAAAUUCCCCACUUUUAAUGUAGUGGCCGGCCAAGGUGAUGGAUAGUUGAUAAUGUAUGCAUUUUAGCAUUUUAAUAGUUAAUGGAUGAUGGGCAUGAUAAGCAUUAUGGGCAUAUUUUUAUUGGAAUUAUGGCAUGAGUAUGGCACAAAAAUUAGUAUAUCAUUUAUGUGUCAUAAAAUGUUGAGUGAUAAGAAUAACAAAAGGAAGCAAAGGAAGGUUUUUGUUCAUUCUUUGUUCUUCAUAGCCGAAUUUGAGAGAGAGCAAAUAGGGGAGCAAACCCUUGAAUAUUCGGUCACUAGGAGGGGGAAAAAUUGAAGGUAAGUUCUUGGUACUUUGCUUCUAUCUUGAUGUUCAUGAGUUCUUCUUGAUUCUACCCUAACUAAUGAAGCAUAUUUUGGUUUUUGGUUGUUGUUUCAUGUUCUUUUGAUGAAAAAUGGAAGAUAGGUGAAGUUGAGAACAAAUGAGCAUGCAUGUGCCUUAGAUGCUAAGGGGAAAAAUCGGCUAACAUGUUGUGCUUUAAAAUUAUGAAAUGGAGAUUAUACUUAAGUAAAAUCAUAGAUAUGUGAUGAUUGAUUGGUGAUAUACAUGUUUAAAUAACAAGCAUGCAAGUUAGGUGUGAAAGAGUGAUUUGGUAAUAAAUCUGCUUGGGACAGCAGCAGUAACGUGACUUUGGAAAAUCACCAUAAAUUGCGGGAGAUGAAUUAGAAGCUGAAUAAAUUAUGUAAUUAAAUCUUAAUGAGUCUAGUUUCAAAUGAAAUAAAUGAGAACAUAUUUUGAAUUCUGUACAAUGAGAAAUUUGAUUUGUAAUGAAGAGUGGUCAGAUUAGUCAAACAGUGAAACAUGGGAAACUUUAAGAAAAAUCUGGUAUUGAUUGGCCAUACCAAAAAUUCUGAAAAUUUUAUGGAUAGAAGGUAUAUGAGUCUAUUUUCAGGGAAAAUUAACGGUACAUGAUUUGGAGUUUCGUAGCUCCAGUUAUAAAUGAUUUAGUGACUGUUGCUCAGGAAGACAGCUUGCAGUGAAAUUAUGAUUAUGUGGUAAACAUUGACAAAAAUUUGUUAAUAAGUUGCUUAUUGAUUUCUUAUAAGCUUACUAUGAUCUGUAGGUGUGGUUGGCCGAAUAUUGUAAGGGGUUAAUACGUAGUUUGUAUUUGAAUAGUUAGAUUAACGUGUUAGUAAUCCAAUUGUAGGCGGUUCGUGUGUGGAUCUCGUCAGCAUAUCGUCGCAAACAGGUGUGUAACUAACACCCUCUUUCUUAGUCUAGAUCGGCAAAAGUCGAAAAGCCGAAAUGCCGAAAACCGGUAUUUUGUAGAUUUGCGAGUGUGCGAAUGCUCGUGAGGUAAAUCGAUUAAUGUUUUUGGUAAGCUGCAAUGUUUGGACUGCAAAGUGCAUGAUUUCUGUGCCCUCGAUAUUUUUGGGCUUAAUGGGCCAAAAUUGGAAUGAUGGGCCAACGGGCCCAAUUCGGUAAGAACCCUCAGUAGUGAUUCUGUUAGUACGUGAAAGGUAGGAAUAUGCAUGAAAAACCCUAAAAUAGGUAAAUUACUGAAAUACCUUUAAAAGUGGAAAUUUUACAGUUUUACCCCUAGGAGAUAAAUUACCGAAAUACCCCUAGGGUUAAAUUGACCUAAAUGCAUGCUUGACUGUUGUUAUUUACUGCAUGCCAUGUUGUUAUUAUCUGAUGCAUGGGACUGGGAUAUUGACGGAGGAAGUACUGAAAGUGGCUUGUCCACGUACUGGAGGCUUUACCUCAAUUUACUGUUAACUGAGCAGCAAUGCUGCAAUUGUGGAGUGUUGGGCUGGGGGGUUGAGCUAUUCCCCACAUAGAGUGUAUGGCUGGUACGGGUGGAGUGUAGUGGUUGGUGGGUUGAGUAGUCUCCCCAAAUGGGCUUGCAUAUGUUUACUGAUGUUGCAUGUAUUUUGAAAUGGGCCUAUGGGCCAUACUGUUAUCUGAAUAAGGGGCUAAGGCCCAGUUUAUUGUAAUCUGAAAAGGGUUCUGGCUCAGUACCACUGUUACCUGAAUGGGCUUAGGCCCAAUGGGCUUAAGCUGACUUGGGCUUUGAAUGGGUUUUCCUUACACACUGAGUUUCCCCAAACUCACCCCUUCUUUAACCUUACAGGUGAGCCUUGAUGUGGGUGACUUGGAGCCGGAGGGGAUUUAGAGUGGCCAUGGUGAAUACUUUUGGGUUUGAAAAAAAGAGACUGGUUUUCUUAAGUUAUUUUUAAUUACUAUUUAAUUUUUGGGUUGUAAUAAGGCCAUUUUAACUUUAUUUUCUUAUUUGAUUUUUUGGGGAUUAUAUUAUUAAAAACAAAUUUAAAUUGAUGGAUACUAAUUCAAAUGGGCUAGACUUAGGGCGUGAUUUCAAAACGAUACUUGUUUUUUUAAAAAUAACACGACGUCACGAAUAUUCGAUUUACCAAAGAAAUUUCAACUUAUUAUAACCAAGUGUGGCAAUGGAUGUGGACAUGUCUAGGAUUGGAUCCAAUUGGAGAGCUUGGUACUUAAGCAGCCUUCAUGGCUCACCUCCUCUGUUAUGGAUACCUACCUGGUGCCCAGCUUCCAUUCACUUGGUUAGUUUGACAAAAGUCGGCUUUUUAAAACACUAAAAAGGGAACACGGGUUUUUGACUUCAAAGUGGCACAUCAGAUUCGGCCUUAACGUCUGGGCCGGGUUUGGGGUGAUACACAUUUGGUUACAACUUUCAUUUUCUAUUUAUAAUGACUUCUAAGCUGAUUUAAAACUCAAUUCUUAUUCAAGCACUAUCUAAAUCAUGAUCGAAAAUCUUUAUCUAAAUCAACUAGUUGGCUAGAUCCUUAUCAAUGUUAUCAAUCUAACCCUUUGUUGCAGUACGGAGAUAAAAUGAACUUAUAAGAAAUUAACGAAGGCUUCAAGACAAGUAUCAAUGACAUUUUCAUUAAAAUUCUAUUCGCCUCCACUUAUAUUAUGGUGUGCAAAAUAAUUAUGGACAAAUGUACCUUGAGGAUAUAAUAAAGCCCAAUGACUAUAUAUGUUUUGCACUAACGAAAAUAGUCCACUGAGCAUUGAUCGGACCAUAGUAAGAAUAUCAAUUUCUAUAAAGAACUUCUGCAAUAAUACUUUGUAGAACAAUAUAGGAAUAUUAGAAGAUGGGGCAGAAUAGAAAGAAACUUUUGUUUCUCAACUUUUGAUGUGUUUUUUUGGUUUGUCAAACAAAUGAAAUUUGACUCCUAUUUAUAGGAGUUCUUUUGUCUCUUUAUAAGAACACAACUAUCUAAAUGGAUAGUCACAUCUUUUAACAAUAAACAUAAUUAUUCAAUAGAUAUCUCCUUGAAUAAUCAUGAUUCAUUGUUAAUAAUCAAGUGAUAUAAUUUUUGAAUUUAAUAGACAUAACUCUUCAUUAUGAAAUAUGAUAACUUCAGUAUAUAUAUUUUGAAAAUGUUCCAAUGAUCCCCCCCCAAUUUCAGAAUAUUCUAGAUUUUGAUAAUCUUGGAAAUCAAUUGCAUAAAUGAAUGUGUCUUACGAUUGAACCUCCACUAAGUGAAAACUUUACUAUAUGUUGAACCAAUUAUUCCAUUUGAUUAACCGAGCACAUCUCACACAAUUAUUCCAACACCAGUCAAUGUAGAGUAUCCAAGGACACUAUUAUGGCCACGUGUUUGUAACCUCUUUCCAGGAGUGUUAUCAAAGUCAAGCUCUUGAGUUCCCAGAAGCGGCCACACUUCCACUCACAUAGGUAGAUCCCACCAAGAGUGUUCCUAUGAUUGUAAAACUCUAACAUAUUUAUGUUAUGGGUCUAUUAAGAGUAUAUUACCAUCAUCAUUUCCUUAUCAUUGCUGAUACCUAACACUUUUUACCUUGGGAUGAUAUAUUAUAUAUUAUUUUAUAGUGUUAGCAGUCACAUACUAAUUAUAUAUUUUGUCUCGUUGAACUCAAGACUUGACAUUAUAUCAAGUGUUGAGUUGAGUUUCCAUCAUUGGUGGCUCAAAUAUUAUAGGCUUGUACCUCAUCCCUAGAUUUUCAAAUUUUCAACAUAGCUAUGUUAAUUAUCUAUACUACAUGGUGAAACUUUAUAUUUAUUUGUGUAUUGAAAAUUCACAAGACUACAAUGUUCAAUUAUUCAUUCUUUCACAAAAGAAUGCUAUCAAUGAUAUCAUUUCUACUAUUGUCAAAUGACAGUGGUCACUUUAUCUUUUCUUAUCAUAACAAUUUCAUAUUUGACUACUUUAUUUAUUUUUUAAUAUCCAAAAAAUUAAUUUCACAAUCAUCAAAUAUAUGAAACCAUACAUCAUAUCUUUUUCACCAAGUUGUUGUAAAGAGACCUUAAGUCUUUUGGUAAAACUAGACAACAUAUUUUCUAUUUGUCAUAGCCUUUUUUCAAAGUCAAUACAUGACUUUAAAUGGGUCAAAUAUCAUUCAUAUUACUAUUAUUUCUAUACUUACAAGAUCUUUGAUUCAAGACUUUCAAAGUAAAUUUCAAAAUUUAUUGCAUCUCAAAAUUUUAUAAAACCACGAGAUUAUAAUUCAUAUCCAAGCCAUAUAUAAAAAACCACAUGCACAAUCAUAAAUAUGCAUUGUAACACCGCUAACCCGGCCUAGACGUUAUGGUCGAAUCUGGGUGUGUUACGAAGAAGGGUUUUAAAUUACAUCUUUCAAGUUAAAACGUAUCAUUUUAUUAGUUUACCAAUCGGAGUCUUAAUAUCCAGAAAAACUUGUGUUUAUAAUCUUAUUUGAAACUAUUUUAAGUUAUCAAAAAUUUGCAGCGGAAGUUUGAAAAUCUUUUUAUUCGAACUCAUGUUUUCAAAAACCAUUUUUUUGCGUAAAAUGUUUUUGUCAACAUUGCGGAAAAGAAAGCAAAACAAAUUCUAAAUCCAAAAGUUAAAACCAUACAGUACAGAGAGUCCAAAAAAAUUACCAACUCUCAAGAAAAACCAAAUUUUAAAGUAAAACCAUUAUUACUAAAUAAAAAUAGUUCUCUAUCGAGUGGUCACUGCUAAGCCUCCAUCACACCAACCGGCCUAAGUUUAUGGAUUACUUGAACAGAACAGACAAACAGAUGUGAGUUUUCAUAAACUAAGUGUGUAACCCAACAGAAGUAGUCAUGCAACAUACAUAUAAUCUUAUAUACAGUCAGAUACAGAUUCGAAUCUAAGUCCGUAACAAUAACAAAUAUCAGAAUCAGCUAGCAGACCACAGAAUCCUACCCCCAUCCUCUACACAUCAUCUCUGUCCAUCCAAUCACACCAUGUGGGUUUAAAAACACCCACCUAUCCCUACACACUAUAUAGUGUCGAUGCGACACAUAACAGAUAAUAUACAGCUAAGCUGCCAGAUAAUAGGUGAAAGGUCGCCGUACAGAUCACUUCCUCCACAUAUGCAAAUCUCACCCCAAACACAGAUGCAUAAUACGGAUACAGAAAUUACAGAUUUAACAUGCUUAACAUGCUCGUAUACAGAUAACAUACAUACUUAAGUAGUACAGUCAAACAUAUAUAUAAAUUUUUUACUCAGAUCGGACUAUCAGAAUAUUAGAUCACAUGAAAUAGGGUUUGGCUAGCCUUUACCGUCCCUAUAGUAAGUCCACAGUCGAUCGAAACAACCCGCGUGACCAUAGGGAAAAUUUUAAAAGUUUGGGCCCAUACACCCAGAAUGGCCUUGCCCGUGUGGCCCACACGGCCUGGCCCAAAACCCACAUGCCUAUGUGGCCCAUAGCCCAACCUAGACUAACUCGUAUGGCCCACACGGCUACACUCACACCAUCACACGGUCGUAUCGAGUGCACGGCCUCACCUUUGUUAGUCACACGGCCGUGUCUCGCAUACGACUAGCCAUACGGUUGGCCACACGCCCGUAUGAUGUCGACAGCCUCCUUUUUGACUUUUGUCAAACCUCGAUUUUUCAUUUUUAGGGUACACACCUGGUACAAUUUUGAUACGAAAGCAAUCCCAAGCCAUUUCAACCUAAAAAACACCAUUCAAUCGAUCAAUUCCAAGUACCGAAACACCAAUCUAUCAAAACCCCAAUCGACAUACUUGAAAAUUUUACUCAAUCGAAAGGCUCGAUAACUUACCAAAACAGUUACGAUAGCCCAAACACACUACACGAUAGAAGAUGAAUUUUGAUCCCCUUGAAUAACACCUACAUAAGAAUUCACCACAUUAACACACUCGAAAAUGAUUCCCAAUUGCACAAAACUUCAAGAAUACUUACUUACCAUAGUCCGAGUAGAGAUUACAAAACCCAAAACACAGUGAUUGAACGACGGUAUAGCGAACAGAAAUCAAAGAAAGAAGAAAUUAAAAAGAAAACGUUUGGAAAAUAAAUUCGAUGAAGAAACAUCAAAAGGUAUUCGGAAAGAGAGAAAAAUAAAAAUAAAAAUAAAAAGAUAAGAUAAGAUAAAAAUAAAAUUGAUUAAUUUGGACACAAUCCCACUACAUCAACUAACAACCCAACCAACUCGGAAUUUCAAGACCAUCCAAACUCUCUCAGCUAACCGCAACAAAAAUUAUCACCCUCGCUCACGUAGGGAUUUGAACACAGAACCUCCAGCAAGUUAACUCUUAACCGCUAGAACCAACAGGAUCAUUCUGAUAUUGAUUUAUAUAAGCUCACCCAACAAGGAUAAGGUUUAGAUAAAAAAUAACAAAAAUUUCAAUUUGGGACUUGAACCCAAGACUUCAAACACACCAUCAAAUCACUUAACUACUGAAGCAUAUACACAUUUAUGUCAGGAUUUAUAGAAAUAGAAAUAAAUUAUUCAGGGCAUUACAACUCUAGCCCCUAAAAGAAAUUUUAGCCUCAAAAUUUACCUGAUUCGAACAGAUACGGAUAUUGCUGAUGCAUCGAGUUUUUAGGUUCUCAUGUGGUUUCCUUAGUGCCAUGAUUCUACCACAAAACUUUAACCAACGGAAUGGACUUCCUCCUCAGAACCUUAAUAUCUCGAUCCAAAAUCUGAACCUGCUUCCUCUUAAACUUCAAGUUCGGUUUAACCUCGAUCUCUUCAAUAGAGACAACGUGAAAUGGAUUAGACCGAUACCGCCUCAACAUCGAGACUUGAAACACAUCAUAGAUACGAUUCAACUCUAAAGGUAGCUUUAACUGAUAAGCAAUUGGUCUCACACACUUCAAAAUCCAAUACGGCCCAAUGAACCUAGGGCUUAACUUGCCCUUACGACCAAACCGCAGAACCUUUUUCCACAGAGGCACCUUAAGAAAUACAAAGUCCCCCACAGAGUACUCGAUAUCUCUCCUUUUCAGAUCCGUAUAAGACUCUUUUCUAUCAAAAGCCGCCUUCAAACGAUCCUGAAUAAGUCUAACAUUAUUUUCAGUCUCAGUAACCAACUCAGGACUCAAAACCCGCUGCUCACCCAACUUAAUCCAACAUAGUGGAGUACAACACUUACGACCAUACAAAGCCUCAUAAGGUGCCAUCUGAAUGUUAGACUUGAAACUAUUGUUGUAGGCGAACUUAGCUAACUGCAAAAAAUCCUCCCAACUACCUCAAAAAUCAAUCACACAACCCCGAAGCAUAUCUUCUAGUAUUUGAAUCACCCUCUCAGAUCGACCAUCGGUUUAAAGAUGAAACGCAGUACUGAAGUUAAUCUCGAACCCAGUACAUCGUGAAGUUUCUUCUAGAAUCGAGAAGUAAAGCGCGAAUCCCUAUCAGAAAUUAAUGAAACUAGAACCCCAUGCAGUCUUACAAUCUCAGAGAUAUAGAGCUUCGCUAAAUUCUGUAUAGAAUAGUCAGUUCGAACCAGAAUAAAAUAAGCAGACUUGGUCAAUUUAUCCACGAUGACCCAAAUAGAAUCCUUCUUAAUGGAAGUUAAAGGCAACCCACAAAUGAAGUCCAUCGUCAUAUGUUCCCAUUUCCAUAAGGGAAUCUUAACGGGUUAGAGCAAACCCGAAGGUAACUAAUGUUCAACCUUAACUUGCCGGCAUGUUAGAUAACGAGCAACAAAAUUAAUUACUUCACGUUUCAAUCCCGACUACCAGUAUAGCUCACGAAGAUUCUGAUACAUUUUAUUACCACCAGGAUGUAUAGCAUAAGGGUUACUAUACGCUUCCCUCAAAAUCGAUUGUCUCAUAUCAGAAUCAUUCGGUACACAAACCCGUCCUCAGAAACACAUAACUCCAUCCUUAUUCAGUCUAAAAUCAGAAGUACUGUCACUCUCAGCCUAACGAAACCACAGACCCAAAGACUCAUCGUUAACUAUUUUUCUUAAAUUUGCCCAAUCCAAGUCGGCUUAACCUGCAACUCGGCUAACAGGCCCCUAUCAUCGAACAAACUAAAACGAGUGAACAUUGCUCUACAACUGAGAGCAUCAGCCACCACAUUGGCCUUACUGGAAUGAUAUUAUAUCGUGCCGUCAUAAUCCUUGAGUAACUCAAUCCAUUGAUGUUACCUAAGAUUCAACUCCUUCUAAGUAAGAAGGUACUUGAGGCUCUUGUGAGCGGUGUAGAUGAUAUACCUUUCAACGUAUAGAUAGUGCCUUCAGAUCUUUAACGCAAACACUACAGUGGCUAACUCAAGAUCGUGCGUCGAAUAAUUCCCUUCGUGUAACUUAAACUAACGGGAUGCAUAAGCCACAACCUUAUCAUUUUGCAUCAAUACACACCCUAGACCGAUGUACGAUGCAUCACUAUACACUACAAACUCCUUACUAGAUUCAAGCUAUAUCAGAAUAUGAGCUUGAGUCAGAACAGACUUGAGCUUCUCGAAGCUUGAUUGUUGCGUAUUAGUCCAGACGAAAGGAACAUUCUUGCGUAGAAGCUUAGUUAGAGGAGCUGCAAUUAGUGAGAACCUCUUAAAAAACCUCUAAUAAUAACCCGCAAAACCUAGAAAAUUGUAGAUAUUAGAAACGUUCUUAGGCUGUUUCCAAUCAAUCACGGCCUCAAUCUUAUGAAUAUCAGCUUCCUUAACCCUAAGCUGAUGAUACCCAGAUCGAAGAUCUAUUUUCAAAAAUAUCAAAGCUCUACAGAACUAACCAAACAGGUCGUUGAUCCUUGGAAGUGGGUACUUAUUCUUCACAGUUAGUUUAUUCAACUACCGGUAGUCGAUGCACAUCCUUAUGGUACCGUCUUUUUUCUUCGCAAACAGAACUACUGCUCCCAUGGAGACACACUAAGACAGAUAAAACCACGAUCUAAAAGCUCCUAAAAUUGAGCCUCAAGCUCUGUAAGCUCUUUCGGUAUUAUACGGUAUGGAGCAAUGAACACCGAAACUGUUCCCAGUAGAAACUCAAUGCCAAACUCAACUUUUAGAUUCGAAGGUAAACCUAGUAACUCCUCAGGAAAAAUAUCUGAAAAUUCCCUCACUGUUCUGAUAUCCUCGACAGAAGAGUCCCUAGAAACUGAAACAUGACAUAGGCCAAAUACGUUUCACACCCUUUUCGAACCAAUUUCUCAGCCACAAGAACAGAGAUCACAUUAGACAGAUAAUCUCAAUGCUCGCCAAUCAAAACUAUUUCCUUAUCAUCCUUGUUCCUCAAAACGACCCUCUUAGUUGCACAGUCUAAACUAACUCGGUGCUCAACUCACUAGUCUAUACCUAGAAUUAAGUCGAACUCCCUAAACAGUAGCUCCAUCAAAUUUGCCAGAAACACAGCUCUUUGUACCUCUAAUGGAACAUUCCUAUAUAGUCUACUAACCCGAACAGAUUGUCCUAAUAGAUUUAGUACCGUAAUCUCACUAGAAGUACACUCAACAGAAAUUCCCAAGUUCUCGGAAAUAGUACUAGCUACAGAGAAGUGUGUAGAAACUAUAUCUAUCAAAGCAGUAUAUAGAGCAUCAAAAAUAAAGAACGUACUUGUGAUCACAUCAGGGGCGUCUCUGUCCUCUCAGCGUCGAGUAGCAAAAAUCAGUACAGACUGCCUCAUUUCAGUCUAAUUAGCACCGAUUAGAGGUGCUCUCUGCCAUCAGCCUAUACCAUUACCACCCCUAGCCAGUCCACGGCCCUUAGGUGGCUGGUAUACCGCCUUCUGAAGCUGAACAAAACCCAGUCACGAAGCUUACAUCUGAUUAGAAUGAUGCAGACACUCUCUAAUUCAAUGCUCCAAUUACCUACAUAUUAGACACACCCCUAAUCUCCUCUAACACUCGCCCGGAUAGCGCCUAUCACAAUCACUACAAGGCUAAAUCUAGUAAGAGCACAGGAACUCUCACUCUAAUAAGCCCAUCAGGUCUGGCCCGUUUCUUAGGCCUAUGAGCAAAACUAGAGCGCUCCGAAUCCCUCUUAUUUUUUCCUAUAUCUCGAUCUCUGUUUUAGCACUCUACACGCUUAACCUCCUCGGUGAUCUUCGCCUUAUCCACAAGAACUAUAAACUCUCGCUCCCUUUGUAGAACAAUGAAUACCCUCAGACUAUCCCUUAAGCUGUCCUCAAAAUAGACACAUUUGUCAUACUUAGCUGCCGCCAUACCUCGAGUGUAGCAACUCAAUCUCAGAAAUUCAGCUUCAUACUUGGCCAUAGACUUAUCACCUUGGGUGAGAUUCAUGAACUCACGUCUACAAGCAUCCACAUAGCUCGUGCCCACUUUUCCUAGAAGGCAAUCUUAAAGUAGUCUCAGUUCAUACGAUCUGGUUGAGUACCAUCAUCAACCGAUAACCACUACUGAUACACCUUAUCAUGAAACAAAGAAACUGUACCUUUCAAUUUCUGCUCAGGAGUGUAAUUGAUGUCGUUCAUAAUCCUCUUAGUGGCCUCCAACCAAUACUCGACCACAAUAGGGGUGACUCUAGUGACGCCUUUAAAUAAUUUAGCUCCAUUAGACCGGAGCCGUUCAGUUAUUGACCCACAGCCUCUAGAUCCAGAAUGGGGUCUAGCGACCCUCUCCAACCCUCUUAACAUGGCUUGGGACAGUGCGUCAUCCCCAGCUGAGCGAUUUUGAGACCUAAUCUCAAUAGCAGGUAAAACCGGUGUCUCACUUGUAUCCAAAUUCUGCAUAAUACCUAGACAAGAAGACUCAGUUUGAGCCCGCCUACGGCGCUCGCUGGGCUCACGGAUACCAUGAUCACGAGUUCUACGAGCGCUCAUCGUAUUUUCAAUUUUAUUUACAUUAUAAAAUUUUAUGCAUUAGUUCCACUGUUUAUUAGUAGAUAUUUUAUGCUUAAAUAAUCAAAUGUUCAAAAUUAUUUCAGAGAUUUUAGUCUCUAACUAACUCAAUGCAAUUUUAGAAAGUACUAACUAUAGUGUUUUCUAAAUUCAAAGAUACUUACAAGAUCAGUGCUGGAGACUCGGUGUACCACAUACUUACUCAAAAUGAUCCACAUUAUUUGAAAACUAAUCCUUUUCUAAAACACAAUUUUGGAACCCAAAAUUUAUAGCCCGAGUUUUGUAAUCUGGCUCUGAUACCACUAAAUGUAACACCCUUAACCCGGCCUAGACGUUAUGGUCGAAUCUGGGUGUGUUACAAAGAAGGAUUUUAAAUUACAUAUUUCAAGUUAAAACAUAUCAUUUUAUUAGUUUACCAAUUAGAGUCUUAAUAUCCAGAAAAACUUGUGUUCAUAAUCUUAUUUGAAACCAUUUUAAGUUACAAAAAAUUUGCAACGAAAGUUUGAAAAUCAUUUUAUUCGAAACCAAGCUUAUGUUUCCAAAAAUAAUUUAUUUGAGUAAAGUGUUUUUGUCAACGUUUCGAAAAAAAAAAAGCAAAACAAAUUCCAAAUCUAAAAGUUAAAACCAUACAGUCCAGAGAGUCCAAAAAAUUGCAAACUCUCAAGAAAAACCAGAUUUUCAUGUAAAACUGUUAUUACUAAAUAAAAACAGUUCUCUAUCGAGUGGUCACCGUUGAGCCUCCAUCGUAUUGACCUAUCUAAGUCUGUGGAUUACUUGAACAGAACAGACAAACAGAUGUGAGUUUUCAUAAACUCAGUGUGUAACCCAAUAGAAGUAGUCAUACAACAUACACAAAAUCUCAGAUUCAGACCUAAGUCCAUAACAAUAACAGAUAUCAGAAUUAGCUAACAGAUCACAAAAUACCCCCAUCCUCUACACACCAUCUCCAUCCAUCCCAUCACAUCAUGUAGGGUUAAAAAUACUCACCCAUCCCUACACACCAUAUAGUGCCGAUGCAACACAUAACAGUUACGAUUUUGAUGCGAAAGCAAUCUCGAGCCCUUUCAACCUAAAAAAACACCAUUCAAUUGAUCAAUAUCUAGUACCGAAACACCAUUCUAUCAAAACCACAAUCGACGUACUUGAAAAUUUUACUCAAUCGAAAGGCUUGAUCACUUACCAAAACAGUUAUGAUAGCCCAAACACACUACACGAUAGAAGAUAAAUUUCAAUCCCCUUGAUUAACACCUAUACAAGAAUUCACCACGUUAACCACCCAAAAACGAUUCCCAAUUGCACAAAACUUCAAGAAUACUUACCUACCACAAUCCGAGCAGGGAUUAUGGAACCCAAAACACAUUGAUUGAACAACAGUAUAUCGAACAGAAAUCAAAGAAAGAAGAAAUAAAAAAUAAAACAUGUGGAAAAGGAAUUUGGAAAAGAAACGUCAAAAGGUAUUUGGGAAGAGAGAAAAAUAAAAAUAAAAAUAAAAAAUAAGAUAAAAGUAAAAUUUAUUAAUUUGGAUACAAUUCCACUACAUCCGCUAACAACCCAACCAACUCAGAAUUUUAAGACCAUCCAAACUUUCUCAGCCAACCGAAACAAAAAUUAUCACCCUCACUCGUGCAGGCUUAUCCUAAUAUGGAUUUACAAAUAAUUUUAUAUAAGCCCACCCAACAGGGAUAAGGCUUGGAUAACAAAUAACAAAAUUUCCAAAUAUGGGACUUGAACCCAAGACCUUAAACACACAUUCAAAUAACUUAACCAUUGAAGUAGAUACAUGUUUAUGUUAAGAUUUACUGAAACAUACAUAAAUUAUUCAGGGCGUUACAUGAAUAGUAUGGUCUCGGUUCAAAUAUAUGAUUACCAUGUUAUAUAUUCUCACUAGAAGCUUUCAUACCAAAAUCGUGAUCUUAUUAUAUAAGCCAAUUAUUUCCACUAUUCUACAUUGACAAGAAAAAUUGGUCAUGCAUAUGCAUUUGACUUAUUUCAUUUCUAGUCAAAAUCAUUUCUAAUCUAAACUUUAUAACGUAGAAUAAAAAAUGUGAAAUCAUAUAUAAAACACAUUUAACUUACGGUUAUUUAACAAAAACAACAACAAAAAUUAUUUGUAUUAUAUGAUCAUCUACAAACUUUUAUUUUUAGCAAUGAAAAUAAUGUUUCAUCAAUAUCAUCCAAAUGUUCGUUACUAAUAUCAUGAUUUAAAUAAACAAAAAUAUUAAUAUCUCAAAUUAAAUAUAUAUCAUUAAAAAAGAAAGAACGUUUUUAUACUAAAAUUUCACUUACAAAAUUGGAUGGAAUGAAUUAAAUUUCAAUUCUCUAAACUUACUAUUUAUUUAUAAUGCUUUGUUAGGUGGAUAAGUGACUUUUUAAAAUGACAUCACUUUUCAAGUUGCACUUUUUGGUUUCAAAAGAUCAUUUCAACUUAACCUUUUGAAAGUAACUAUUGGAUUCAAUAAUAUAACUUUUUGGCUUAGGAAGGUUUUCCUGAAUGGUCAUAAUGUUUCUAUUGGAUAGAUAUUUGUUCAACUAAUGUUUGAAUCGUGUCAUCACCAUUCAAAACAAAACUAUUGUUUCGAUCCAUUAAUUGAUCAUUUCCCAACCGUGCUUUUUCAUUCUAUCCAUCUUCUUUCUUUAUUUAUUGCAUGAUAUAUGAUAUUUAUUAUAUACUUCUAUUCUAAUCACAAUCAUGCAUUUUAAAAUGUCAUGCAUACGAUAAACUAGCAUUUGAUUUUUGUCAAGUAAUUGAUGCAUAAGACAACAGUGUUCUUUUAUAUAAUAUUGUUCAAUAAACACAUUACGAUUGAAGUCUAUUUCAUGCAAAGUAAAAAAAUAAAUAUGACAUACCUUUGCUCGCGAUAAAGAUCUCUUAUAAAUCAAAAUUUGACAAGAUCGAUGAUCUCAAUAUUGUCCCAUUCCUGAUAGCCAUCCUCAUAGUACUUUGCUUGUAAUGGCAUGUGAAUGCACAGUAAAUAUAGACAAUUCUCAUAAUUUGCGAAAUUAGAACCUUAAAAUUGUUAGUGUAUAGGGAUAAAAAUGAACUUAUGAGAAAUUAAUGAAGGCUUCAAGGUGAGUAUCAAUGUCACUUUAAUUAAGGUUCUAUUCGCCCCCACUUAUAUUAUAAUGUGUAAAAGAACUACUGGCAAAUAAACAUUGAGGAUAUAAUAAAGCUCAAUGAUUGUCAAUCUUUUGCACUAAUAAAAAUAGUCCACUGAGCAGUGGCCGGAGCAUUGAGGAUAUAAUAAAGUAAUAUAAUUUUUUAAUUUAAGAGACAUAACUUGUCACUAUGAAAAAUGAUAACACUUGAUUAAUAACCAAGUGAUAUAACUUUUAGUUACUUUGUAACUUUUCAUUUACAACGAUUAAAACACUAUAUAUAUUAAAAAUGUUCAAACACCCCUAACCUAAUUGUGAUCCAUAUCUACAAAAUCGGAUAAAAUAAAUCUAAUCACAUGAACAAAUAGCAAGUUUACACUAGCAAACAUCAAAUACUUCCAAAUAACAUGUUUACACAUUUAGAAGCUUCAAAUUACUUUAUCCAACAUCAAAUACUUCUAAAGCAACUUUUAUAGCAAGUGUCUCUGCAAAAUUCGACGCAUAAACACGGCUACAUCUGAAUGGCCCCAACUUUCCACUAGAAGAGCCACCAACAUUGAACUUGAGAGCAUCCAUCUUUGGGCAAAUACACUUACAUUUACUUGUAAUAUUCUUAAAAGCUGAUUUUAUAUUAGUUGUUAGGAAUGGUUUAACUUUUCUUAUUUGUGUUUCUCUUGUGAACAUAUAAUAAAAAAUAUUGAUAUAGUAUUUAAUGGAAAUGCAUUCAUUCAAUUGAAAGGUAAUAAAGAGAAUAAAGCUAAUAAAAUGGAUAGGGCAUCAACCAAAAUAUUAGUAAUUUAUCGAAUGAAUUUACAAACUUUAUAAAAAGAAUGUGAAAUUAAAAUUUGGGAGUACCACACAUAAUUUUAUCAUACUUUUAAAUAUAUAUAUAUAUAAAAUUAAAAUUAUGAGAGAAUUUAAAAGGACGGAGAUCCCUCUUAGCUUCUUUUUUUUUCUCGGAAUUAAUGUAUUUUUCAUGUAAAUUAAUUUUUUUAGGUUUAUGCUUGCCUCUCUUGAUAAAAUUAUUUUAAGGUUUAAACUUAAAUUCUCCCUUAAAAUUGUAAUAUGUAUUAUCAUUAUAUCCAACACUUGAGAUAUUAAAUUUAAAUUAACUCAAAAACUAACAAAAACUUUAUUUGGAUUGGAAUUUAGUUGCAUGCAUUGUAACUACAUUUUCCUAUAUAAAUUCAUACAUUAGGUUUUAGAUUUAAAUGUGAAUCUUGGUUAAAAGUAUUCCUACUUGUUUUAUUGAGUUAUGAAAUUAUUAAAAUAUCAUCUUAUAUAUAUAUAUACAUAAAUAAUUAAAUUAUAAUUUUACGAGGGUGUUUUUGUCUCUUUCAUGAGAUUUAAAAUUAAAACACCAUGCAUAAUAAAUAUAAUAAAUAAUUAGCUUUAUCAUUGUAACCAAAAAUUAUGAGAAUUUCUAAUGGGAGUCAUAAAUAUAGUAUAUUUGAUACAAAUGACAUUUUAUAUUUACACUCUUACUUCUUUUUAUCAAAACUCAGGACAUUCAAACUAUUUCAGCAAAUUAAUAGCAUAGGUGUUUGAAAAUGGAAAAAGAUUUACUUAAACGAAAGAUGGGGAGGCACCGCAUUCAUACAUACAUUAGCAAGCGUUUAGGAGGGCUACCACAUUUGUUUGUAUUAUAGAAUUAGCUCCAAAGCAAUACAUCAAUCAAUUUAAUUGCUUGACUUGUUUCUUUGUUGACAAGUUAAAGCAAGAUCUUGCUAAUCGUAUUAUUGAAAAAUAACACUAGGAUAAAAAAGGGAAAUUUUAUUAUAGGAAAAAUAAUAUCAAGUUCCAAGUUGUGUAAACCACAUAUAUUUCUUUUAAUAUGGUAAUUAUCAUGUAAUGGAGUCUAUCUUCCAGUUUUUUUCAUUUACAUUUUAUUCUUAAAAGAAAACCUUUUUUUAUUUACUCAACUUUCAUAUAAUUAUCUCCUUUCGUCAAGCCAUAGUUAAAACAAUCUUUUUCUUUUCUUUCAUUUCACCAUGGAAACUUAUGCACACAAACUUUUGGUAAGAGAAGAAGACAAAAUAAUUUGGAUUAAAAAUUAUUUCAAAUGAAAACAAAAGGCAAAUUGAAAACAAAUCUGGGAUUCCAUAACUAUCCUAAGAGAUAAGAUUGUUGGGUUAUGAUGUUCAUCCAUGGCAGCCAUCAUUGGAUGAUCAAAGCUUUACCAUUUUUUUUUAUUUUUUUUAUUUUUUACUCUUACGAACAAUACAUCAGAUUUUCAAUCUAUAAAAGAUCAUAUAUUUGUGCGCAAUCAAAUGACCGAAUCUGGAACUUCUAUAUCGGUAACUGCCAUGUUUUAGUGAGUUUGAGUGAAGAUUAGGUGAUACUUUUUAUGGUUUCAAUAUAUAUAUACACAAAUUUCAUUUCAAAUCCUUCUUUUAUUCUCUUGAUCGAAAUUAUUUUUGCUUUUUUUAUUUUUUCAUGUUUGAUUUUGAUUAUUUUCUUCUCUUCCCAAUUUGAAGUCUCCAUGUAUAAUACUUUUUCCUGGAAAUGAAAUGAAAUUGUAAAAAGGGAAAACAAUUGAAUCUUUUAAGGAAAGAGAUAAUGUUUACAUGGAAAUUUUUUUCAAAAAUUGUUCACAUGGAAGUCUAUUAGAUCAAAAUGCCUUUUUUUAAAGAAUAAAUUCUAAAAUAUAUAUCGGUCUAUUGAUAAUGUAAUUUUUUUAUUCCACAAAUAAUUUUAAAAUAUUGACAUAUAUAAUUUUUUAAAAUAUUUUACUAUAUCUUAACUUCUAACUUUGUUUGUAGACUUUAAAUACUCUACUAAGAGUGUAUCAAAUACUCCAUCAGCAGUGUAAAUUAAAAUGUGUUAUUAAAUUGAUGUCAUGAGUAACAAAUAUUAUUAUGAGGGCUGUAUAUAUUUUUUUUUAUAUUUUUAUAUAUGUAAAAAAAUUUAUAUCUAAAAUAAAUUCACAGGAUUUAAAUUAAGACAUCAAAAUCUAACAAAGACUUAGAUUUAUUGUUUCAACCAAAAUUUCUUUUGUUUUCUAUAUAAACUUUUAUAAAUAUACUUGUACAUUAUUAUUUUUUUCUACUUAUAUAUUGUCAUAAUCAAAUAUAUACAAUAUUUUGAGGAAUAUGGUCGGCAAGUAGAAUAUUUAUCAUAUAUUGAAUUACAUCAAAGGGAAUAAAGCUAAAGAUUGUGUGUCAAGUUUACCCACAAGAUGUGAAAGCAGAUAACUUCCAAGUUAUUUCAAUGCAUACAUAUAUAUAUUGUCCACCUGGACCACCGCUGCAACAUGAGGCUAUUUUAUGUUUUUCUUUUAAUAAUUCAUUACUCCACACGCAGUCGUGGCAAAAAAGUGAACCAACCUUAAGUUUGAAGAAAAAAUGAAUGUGGACUCGGUUAAGUUUCAGUAGUUUCUGCAGUCGAGAGAAGCAUCCGGUUUCCAAUCAAUGUGUGAAAAAGAAGGGAAAAAAAUCACCUGAUGAUGACAAUUAAAUGUAUAUUAAUGUAAAUGGAAUGAUUUUUUUUCAAAUGAGGGCACAGUUCCAAAUGAAUCUCUUGUGGAACCCAUGGUAGGUCUCUAGGUGCUCACCCGUGACACUUCAAUCCUGUUUUUCAAGCUUGAAAACUUCCAUUGACAAUGUGCCAAGAAUAGGAGCAAAAUCGGUUUGUUAGCAGUAACUACGAGCAAUCUCAAUAGUAUUAUUAUAGAGGAAAAUUAAAGGAUUAAAUAAUGAAGACUCUGAACGUUUCUAGUUGCAUUAGAGCUCAUUACAGUUAAGUUUUUUGACAGCAAGUUGUAUUGGUAUCUUGAAAUUGGAGUUCAAUGUGAAAGAUAUGGGUUUGGUUGGAUGUACAUGCCAUGAUACAGUCAGAUUGGAAUAUAGCGAAAUCAAAACAAAACAAAACAAAAAAUGAAACCCAAGAAUAAGAUGAAGGUCUGGCAAGCUAUCCUUCAACAGGGAAGUAAUUAUGUUGUUCUGAAUCUGGAUCCAUUUUGUCUUCAGCAGUUAACUUUUGUGAGUUGUAACUAUCCUAGUUCGGAACAGAGCCAGAGGAGAUGUUUUGUAAAAAAAAUAAAAUAAAGUAUUAGCUACCAUUGUUUAGAAGACCAUUAAAAUCUGUCCCAAUAUCAGAUUAAUAAAGGCUAUUAGGAUGAAUGAUAUAGAUAGAUUAAGUGAUUUGAGGAUCCCAUUUUCUUCCACCAUUAGAGGCUGGGACUUGCUAAUAUUUUAGUGUAAAUCUCCACCUCACUAUCACAAACGUCUGAAGUUUACGAACAAUCUUCUGCCUCAACCAAUUCAAAUUGCAAACAUUAAAUUGAUUUAUGGUAAACUUUUAUUAACUAAGCUUACGUUAUAAUACAACCGAGUUGUGCUCUUAAAGCACUAUAAAACCCGCUUCCUUCACUCCAAAUUCUCCAUACCAUAACUUGUACAUUAGGCAAGAUGGCUUCAAAAAGAACAGCAUCGCUUGCCCUCUUUUUUGCCCUCAACGUUCUCUUCUUUUCUCUAGUCAGUGCUUGCGGUUCUUGCCCUUCCCCAACCCAAAACCAAAGCCCACUCCUUCCCCAUCCCCCUCAGGCAAAUGCCCCCAAGAUACCCUUAAGUUAGGUGUCUGUGCUGAGGUGCUUGGUUUAGUCAAUGUAACUGUUGGUUCUCCCCCAGGGCAACCAUGCUGCUCCCUUCUCCAAGGCCUUGCUGAUCUUGAAGCUGCUGUUUGCCUUUGCACAGCACUCAAAGCUAACGUUUUGGGCAUCAACCUUAAUAUCCCAGUUUCCCUCAGCUUGCUUCUUAA